Molecule: long non-coding RNA, 58901 nt
Filed under: Sorghum bicolor (sorghum)
Lineage: Eukaryota; Viridiplantae; Streptophyta; Magnoliopsida; Poales; Poaceae
Description: long non-coding RNA (SBIC_LNC001619)
Rfam family: MIR5565 microRNA precursor family (bases 6676-6784)
Source: RNAcentral
CGGCGCUGGGGCCCUGCAGCUGCUGCGGGCGUCGUCGUCACGCGCGCAAGCGGACAAGCAUCCGCGUGCUUAUAAGCAGACCCUCCCCUCCCGUCCCCAAAAAUUCCAUUCCCCCGUUUCUCCUAGCUACUCCCUCCUCCGAUCGAUCCAGGGUGCGAGAGCAGAGCUCUGGUUAUUAGUUUAGUUUAGUCUCCCUCAAGCUCGUGGCGCAGCAGCGGAUUCGAAUUCGUUGAGAGGAGGUGGAUUAGCAGCCGAGGCCUGCAGCUAGCUAUCUAGGGUUUUGUAGUGAGAGUUCCUCGCAGUCGCAGGCUUCGCUUGGUAGCGUCGUCGGCCGGCCGGGAGCCAAUAAUGAUCAUGGCGAACCCGGACAUGCUGCCGCCGGGGUUCCGGUUCCACCCGACGGACGAGGAGCUCAUCCUCCACUACCUCCGCAACCGCGCCGCCAACGUGCCGUGCCCGGUCGCCAUCAUCGCCGACGUCGACAUCUACAAGUUCGAUCCAUGGGACCUUCCAUGUUAGUACCCCUGCUGUACCCUCGCGCGCCUGCACUCGCAUCACAUCUAUCGUGAAUUUCUCGUAAUCCGGCCGGAUGGUCAGAUCCAGAGAUCUCUAGCUGAUGAUCCGUGUGUAAAUACUAACAACGAUUUUGCCUUGAUUGAUGUGCAUGUAUUACUGCAGCCAGGGCAGCGUACGGGGACAAGGAGUGGUACUUCUUCAGCCCGCGCGACCGCAAGUACCCAAACGGGAUCCGGCCGAACCGCGCCGCAGGAUCCGGCUACUGGAAGGCCACCGGCACUGACAAGCCCAUCCAGAGCAGCGCCACCGGCGAGAGCGUCGGCGUCAAGAAGGCGCUCGUCUUCUACAGGGGCCGCCCGCCCAAGGGCACCAAGACCAACUGGAUCAUGCACGAGUACCGCCUCGCCGCCGACGCGCACGCCGCACACACCUACCGCCCCAUGCAGUUCCGCAACGCCUCCAUGAGGGUACGAGAUGAUAUACGUUGUUGAUCACUCAUCAGACCAUAUAUAGCUUUUGCAUACAAUUCCAUGAAAAACUUAGCUAAAUUCAAAGAAUAAAAUGAUGAGAAGAAUGAGAUCCCUACUCUCUAGCUUUUGCCUUUUAAUUUCCAUGUAGUUAUAUAUAUCCCCUGCAUGUCAGUAUCAUGGUGUAGCUAGCUAGUUGCAUGCGUACCAGACAUAUGCGUGCUCAGUUUGUUGCACCGCUUGCGCAUGCAAUCACCGAUGCACCCUCUGAUCCAUCUUUUUGGCGAUGUUUCUGAUGCGGGUUCCCGGCACACGUCAAAAUAUAUUCUUUAUCGCAUCGGUUUUGUGGCUUGCCAAUAGACGCAAGGGCCGCUUUAGUCUGUGUGUGUGUGUGGCGCGGCUUUCUUUCUUUUUUUUAAAAAAAAAUGUUCUUUAGGCAUACUUGGCAUGGUUGCACCAAGUCAAUUGAUCCGACAAUGAUAGCCGCGACGAUGCGUACGUGUUGACGAUUGAUUCAUUAUCUGCAAUUCUGCACCCGAUUUGUGUAGCAUUGAUUAUUUUAAUCUCCAGCCUCUUCCUAAUUUAUUUGUGUGAUGGAUUGAUCGUCUCUGCGGCGCAUGGUGUGUGGUGCAGCUGGAUGACUCGGUGCUGUGCCGGAUCUACAAGAAGGCCAGCCACGCGCCGUCCAUGGCGGUGCCGCCGCUCUCCGACCACGAGCAGGACGAGCCCGCCUGCGGUGGUGGCGGCUUCGACGACAACCCGUACGCCGCGACGAGCGCCGCCAUGAUCCUGCAGGGCGCGUCGUUUCCGGCGAUGCAUGCCGCGCCGGCCGGCGCUCCGCAGAGGAUGCCCAGGAUCCCGUCCCUCUCGGAGCUGCUGUUCAGUGACCCCUACUUCUUCGAGGAGGGCGGCAUGCAGCAGGACAUGGCACGGCUCAGUAACCACCACCACCAGCAGCAGGCCCCUCUCCUCGGCCGCCCCAUCACGAGCCAACUGCUGGUCAACAACGGCAACAGCAUGAUGUCCGGAGGAGGGCAGAUCCCGCAGCUGGACCCGCCGCCGGCCUCGACGUCGGCCGCUGGCGAUGGCGCAGCUGGCAACAAGCGCAAGAGAUCGUCAGCAGAGACGAGCACUGCUAGUGCCAGUUUGCUGUCGAGCCAGCAGCAGGCGUCAGCAGGCAAGAAACCGAACGGCUCCUGUUUCGGUGCAACGACGACGUUCCAAAUAGGCAACGGGCUGCAGCUGCAGGGGUCGUCGCUAGGCCACCAGAUGCUGCUUCAUUCUUCUAACAUGGGGAUGAACUGACUGACAGAUUGCUGUUCUCCACUGAAAGCUAUACGUACUUGAGCAUUCAAUUGUGAUUUGAACAUCGGGAUCUAUUGCACCAAAUACAUAUAUAGGCUUUCCUCAAAAAAAAAACAUAUAUAGGCCUAAAAUAUAAAGCAAUGGUUACUAUAUAUUAGUAGGUAAUCAUUAAAGGGAUUGUACUUGUAGAGUCCAGUAGUAGUGUCAACUAGCUAUAUAGUUGCUAGGGACGCCAUAGUUGAUUGAGGUUUGCGGUGUGUAAACAUUUUGAUCUCCUGUACAUAGUACAAUACUAUGUACUACUCAAUCUUAUUACUACUACUACUAGUAGUAGUUCAAAGCUAACUAGAUAAGGCUUUGAGAUCAUUGAAGAAUUGGAAGUCAAGAACAGGAGAAAUGUGUUGAUUAAUAUCCAGCCGGCUUUAUUUGCUCAUAUAUCUGCAUGUAAAACAUUUUAUUGUGCCAUGCUUAAUUCCUCAGAGUACGAAAAUGCUUAUUAGAUCGUGCUUAUAUAUCGCGACGCUUUCGGGAUUACAUCGCGGAUAACUAAAGCACGCAAUACAACCACACAGGUGUCACUCAAAGAGAAAGCGAAAAUGAAUUACCAUAGCCACCAGGCAGAGGUUGAAAUUCCUUCCUGCUGGGAUCGAUAGCAGAGAAGAUAAUAGUCCAUUCAGAAUAAGGGUAAAGAAAAGGACAUAAGGGAAGGAAAAGAGAAAAAAUGAUGGAGGCCGGAUAUUUAAUAAUUGGCCAAAGCAGUCAAGUUGCGGAUGGCUUGUAGUUUUCGGGUCAGGCUCAGGCGGUGGAUGAGAAGCCUCGCUCCUUUUCUGCUCUCGAUCAGAAAGCCUUAUUCAGAUGGGUGAAAGAGGCCCUGCUGCCUGGCUGCCUGUGCUGUGCAAUUGUGUGCAUGCAGAAUCUGGCCCCGCCCGCCCACGGAAACUGAAAAGUAUUGGAAUAUUUGAGGCACAUCAACAAGCAGUCCCGGCACGUCGGCGUCACCGAACACAACAAAACUGGCAGCUUCUCCGUUUUGGCGCCUCUUGGUGGGGUCUACCGUACGUCGUCUAUGCACUACUCCUACGCAGGCCCCUAGCUCCUGCAAGGCUGCAAGUUGUUGAGUAGUAAGAGAGCUGGAGGCGAAGUGAUAGAGAAUUAGCUAGUGCAGGAGAUUCUCUGUCAGCCAAGAAUCAGUCGAAUCGUUGAACUUCAUGCAUGCAGGAGAAUUAAGUUAGCUGGAUUUGAAUUUUGGAUGUGUUGAAGUUUUUCACGGCUCUGUUCAGGUUCCUAUUACUAUUCUGCUUUGAAUGUUAAGACCUUCAUAACGACCAGAGGGAAAAAAGUUGGUGGUAGGAAGUAGUGUAUCAGCAGGCUAUCAAAUGCUGACAGAGUCGCUGCAAACGUAUAAUAUAAACAAAAUUCAGCACACAAGCCAUGAAGCCAGAAGCAUUUUGCCUUACCGGAGAGCGAUCAGUAGUGCUGCUGUACUUUUUAACUCAAUAGUUUAAUGGCAUAAUAAUAAUAAUCAACACGAACGGAAGAUGCUUAUCCACAAGUAAAAUUUUCCCCGCCGCGCACGCAACCGCGAUCGAAGUAGAACGUCAAACUAAUUUACCGCUGGUUCGUUCCCCGUCCAAAUUAACCGGAGUUUAACAAUAGCCAUUCCAGCUCGUGCUUUAUAUCCCCCCCUCAUGCAGAUAAGCUUAGUAAAGUCGUGGAAAAGAAUCCUGAAACCCCCAGGAAUCUCCCAAAGAGGAAGAGAUCCAGCAAGGACGGAGAGCUCGCGGGAGUAAUUUAGCCAUUUCGCACCGGAGAUUCAGGGUAUAUUCCUUGCGGCCUCACCUCGCUGCUUUCCCGUUUCGGCAGGCAGUGAUCGCACGUACAGCUGGGAGAGACGACGACUACGGACUACCUGUCUCUCACGUAUCUGCAAUCUACUGGCCAUCAGACCUUGCCACAAUAUAAUACUCAGCUGACGUGCACCUGUAAUCUGCCAUUCGUGCUCCAUUAGCAGCCAAGCAUUUUUUCCAUCCGGACCAGGUGCUACCAGCUUGAGUAUUUUACAGUAGAGGAGCCUUCAGAGUGACGAGGAACGCUGCUGCUGGCGUGGAGAGAGUUCUUCCAGGGGCUACCAGAAUUGGUCCAGCGCACGGCCAUCCAGGUGGCCGCAGAAGGGAAACAGAGGGGCAGAGAAUGAGAGAAAGCAGAUCGAAAGGAGAACCGCUUUCACGUACGCUGGCUUCAGCUAGGCGGCUUUUGCAUAUGAUAUGUUAUCUUUGGUGCUGAACUUAUCUGCUUCAUGAUUGUUCGCCGUGCCUUUAUCAGUUCAGUGUGUUAUCAUCAAGAAGAAGCCUGGGCAGUGGGCAGGCACGCGUCCACAAGUAUAUUCAAUUAGUGGUAGUGGCCGAGUGAACGUGUGCCUUUUGUGAUGGUGAAUUUACUGGUUGUUUAGCGGAUAAUGGUGUUCCAAACUUGGGUUAUAGUUCUAGCUGGGAAUGAAGGCCGGGAUACGGUUGACAGGGUAUAUAUAUAUAUAUAUAUAUAUAGGAUGACAAACACAUGAGUGUAAUAUAACGAGCCUGUGGGAAGGAUAUGGCCAUGACGAUAUCAUGUGUGUGUUUGGAGGAUUUGGUUUGUAAACUAUCGAUCGGGGCACAAGAAUUGGUGGGUUUCUUUUAGACCUGAAAGACUUACAUCUGUUGAUCUCUCAGUGGACUACGCUGCUAUUUGAAAAGAGGAGGAAGAGCGAGAGAGGUGAACCGAGCGUGGUUGGGUUCUUGCUGUGGAGCUUAGACUAUUUCGGUGCUAAGUGGGUAUUCAUAUUUUUCUGAAUUUAUUUAUUUUACAAUUUAACGGCGUUGUUUUUUUUGGGCAGCAGACGUCAUGCCCACGGCGAAGCAAGGUGCUCAUAGGUUGAUAGCGAAUGGAUCUGGUGACUUAUCAAUUUUGUUGACUAUCAACAGCGAACAAAAAAUGGAGAGAUCCAUGUGGACAAAAUGGACUUUGUUGGGCUGUUCUUAUGCUGCUUUUGGUUUCGCCAUUCCGGAAAGGAAAUUAGCAUGGGCUUCAAACCGCUUUCUGCGUCCGACUCCUUCAUUUUCUGCGGACAUUACUGUCGUAAAGGCCCAUAUGCUUUCAUGGGCAUCUCACCCGAUGUAUUGCGUGAUGGGCCGCAUUAUUGUACAAGGACUUUGCGGGCCGUGCCAAGACCACCGUGUCAGUUGACGUCUGAAGGCCCCUCAAAAAAAAAAAAAAAAAGACGUCCGAAGGUUCAAAGCCAGCUAUCCCGCAGCAAACUCUAAAGUCCGAAGGGACAUGUGUGCUGAUUAGUGGUUCAUGGAGUAUACUAUAAAGUAGUAGAAGAUGCAGACAAGAAGAACGGUGGUCCAAGCAUGGACGUUUGCGGUAAUCGCGGAUUACAGUGCAACUGAAAGGUUGGGAAACAACUCAAAAAGUGAAAAAGACUAUUGGGAUAAUAAAAAAAAACUAAUUAUAUAACUCGUUUAAAACUACGAGACGAAUUUAUUAAAUCUAAUUAAUUUAUUAUUAGCACAUAUAGGUUACUGUAGCAUACAUAAACUAACUAGAUUUUGGAUAUAAGAAACUAAAGGCCUAAAUAUACUUCCUCUAUACCCAUAAAGAAAGUCGUUUUGCACAAUGUUUAGGUCAAACAUUGAAAAUAUAAAUCAUGAAUAACUUUUGUGUUGUUGAAUUGAGAAAUUUGAAAACCAUACGAAUAGAUUGGUCUUGAAAAAUACUUUCAGAAAAGUAUACAUAUACCACUUUUUGAUAAAUAUUUUUAUAAAAACAUGUGGAGUAAAAGGUAACCUUGAAGACUGUGUCAUUGUUCUAAACAACUUUUUUUAUAGGUAUAGAGGGAGUAUGAUGAAAUAAAAACAUAUCUGGUAGUCUAGUACGGUCUGCUUUGUAUGAUUGACUCCGUCGCAUCGAAUCUGGAGCACUAAAUAUAGAUAGGAAAAAUAACUAAUUAUAUAGUUUAUAUGUGAUUUGCAAGAUGAAUCUUUUAAUUAUAGUUAGUCUAUGAUUGAACAAUAUUUAUUAAAUACAAACAAUAAUUUCUAUUUUGAAAAAAAAUAACUAAAACAAGGCCCGAGUGCGAACCAUAUAUGUGCGGGCGAGCACUGUGAGCUCUUUUUCCCGGAUUCCCGAAGCGAGGAGCCCGACGCAGAGCCACAUACGACAACUGCAAGAGGUCGUCAGGUCAUUCAUGCCAAAAGCUAGGCAGUACCAGCGUUCCCAACGACUCCAGCGUGGCUAUGGCUUCACAGCAAAAGUUACGAACCAUAAUUAUGUUACUACUUAUUACCACUAACCUACAUUUCGAUCUAGUUUUAUCAGCAACAACUUACACCUAAGGCUUUGUUUGGAUGUUGUUGGAUUCAUCUCAAUCCACAUGUGUUGAAGUGGAUUGGGGUGGAAUUUAGUUGAAGUUCCACUCCAAUCCACUCCAACACACAUGGAUUGAUGUGAAUCCGACUACAUCCAAACAAGGCCUAAGUUUGUUCUCAUUUCUAAUCAUCCUACCAUUUUCAAGAUAUUAUUCAAGAUUUUAAACAAAAUGAACGAUCAAAUAAAAAGUUUGAAAGUUUAAACUGACAUUUUUAUUGGGACAAAGCAAGUCAUAUCAAAAUUCUAAAAUUUUUGUGCAAAUUUUAAAAUAGAUAAAUCAUUAUUAAAAUAUCUCUAGUGAUCAACAUAUCAAAAUAGACGAUACUUAUAAAAUCUUUUAAUAAGACGGAUGAUAAAGAUAUCUAAAUGUUAAGGAUGGAGUAGUCUCCACAGGUUAAGGGGCGUCAUGAAUUUGCUCAAAAACUAAUCACAUCAGACAUCUGGACCUGGGAGUCAAAGAUAGGAGUACUACGAGAAACUUCCAGAGAUCCGGGCCCAGCUCAAGCCCGGGUAUUCAUAAUUCAUAACCACUAAUCACUUCUCUCCCGGAUCCGGAUGCAUGCAUGCCACGUCCGGCCGCUGGAUGGGCUCCUUGCUACGUGCCCUGACAGUCUUGACACGGGCCGAACACGUACCGACUCUUUCAAGUUUGCUGGUGCAGAAAUAAUACGCGACGACAGCUGGAGUAGUUCUUUUAAGGCCUUGUAGAAAAAGGAAAUCAUGGUGUUACAUGUAUCGUUAUUUAGAGAUCUGAAAAACAAUCAUGGUGUUGUUUGCUCAGCUGUCGUCGCGGAUGGCAGCAGGCGGCAGGUGAACUUUCUAGGUGUGCCUAACAAGGUGAGGAGGAGUACGUGGAACGGCUAGGUGAGGAAAUCAAACGCUGAACUGAUUUAUCACGCUUUGUUGUUGUUGUUUUAAUGAAAUUCAUCACGCCGUGUGAUGGCUCUACAUCCGCGUGAAUUUGUGGGGUGAGAAUCUCAAUCCUCACCGCGAUCUUAUCCCCUCAUGCCCUCACGGCUUCCUCAUCAAUUUUUUUUUUUUUACAACCGGCUUUCACCGUCCGCGUCAGGUCCAGGUCCGAACGCCGGAUGACUUCUGUCCAUUUCUGGAGUUACCACAGUGCGCUCGCGUGGCUCGGUGUUUGCGGAGAAGAGCAAAGCCAAAGCGUUUGUCGGACAGGAUCACAGGACGGGGACCCCAUGAGAUCGCGCGAAUCAAAACCAUGCAGCGUCAGGAGCACGCAUCUCGGACAGAGAUUAGUGACCAACGUGCCCGUAUCAUUGUCGUCCUAUACUCCUAUUAGAUUACUCACAAUACAGACUCUAUCAUGGAGUCUAAAGUCAUUUAUUACCUCGAACAAUUUAGACUUGGAGUCUAAAUAAGACUUGAAGUCUUAUUUUUUCUAUCUCUUUCUUCGAUAAAUAUGGUGUCACAUCAGCAAAAUACCAUAAAUAAUAUGUAAUUAAUUGUCUUGGACUUCAUGAUAGAGUCUUGCAUUGAGAGUGCCCUGCAAGACUUUAUCACAGAGUUCAAGACAAUUAAUUAUAUAUUAUUUAUGGUAUUUUACUGAUGUCGCAUCAUAUUUAUUGAAGAAAGAGGUAGAAAAAAUAAGACUCAAAGUCUUAGUAUUUAGACUCUAAGUCCACAUUGUUCGAGGUAAUAAAUACCUUUAGACUCCAUGAUAGAGUCCGCAUCGUGAGUGCUCUUAAAAGGAACUUAGUCCAAUUUAAUUUUAAUCGUUUAAAGCCGAUCCACAUUCCUCUCUCUGAUCACAGCAAUUUCCCCGCAGCUUUUGUUUAAGGUUUUUGCCGCUAACCAACACAUGUGGCGAAGAGGCCACUGGACCACGUAGAGGUGACACACACACGCCGCUGACACAUAGGACGACACGGCCACGCGGGUGUCUGGCGGUGGCUCGGCGGGCGGCUCCUCCUUUUCCAUGGACGCGUCGGGUACUGGAUCAUCCACGAGUCAUCAGUGACGAAAACGACCAUACGUGCAUGCACAGCGCCACUAUCGCUAGAGGACAAAAGUGACCGUCGGUACUCCCACCAUCUCUAGUACUCCUAGUUUAAGCUCUUCUCUCUUUUUUUUUUCCCCGAGACCAAAUAGACUGAAGAAACAAGGAUUUGUUAUUUCACGUGUCUGAAAUAUAGCAUGCUUUCAGGUAAACAUCUCCACCGUUAGCUUUUGGACAUAUAAAGCUGAGAUUCACCUUGGUAUAUAGAGGAAAAAAAUCAAGCACGGGAUUGGUACGAUAUCGCCUGAAGAGAAUUUACAACUUAGACAUCUGACCAUUAGAAGAAGUAAAAGCACCUGAUAGAUCAUCGGAUAUAUUUUAACAAUAAAAUUUAUUUAAAAAUAUAAAUAUUACUAAUAUUUUAUAUAAAUGUAGUUAAAUUUAUUGAACGAUUGAUAGAUAUAAAUAGUAUAAUAGUAUUUAUUUUGAAAUAGAGGAAGGGAUGGAGCAGCAGCGGAGGGUAUAGUGGAGACGAAAUUAGACAUCAGCUCACUCUUGGCUGACAAAAGUUUAAUGGCUUGUAGAUAUAUAGUAGCUGAACUAUAUAUAUCUACAAUAUGUUACUAUGAUUUGGUAUUGAAAUGAACAAUUUGCCCCCCUCUUACUAUUAAGCCACGCUCCACCACUCGAAGAGAGUACAUCAAUUCCACGACUUUGAAGAUUGCACACAUGCGGUACAACAAGUACCAGAAGUACUAUUGUUUUGUUACUUCCUUGUUUUGUUUAAAAUAAUGAACAAAAGUUUUCGUUUCUUCCAGGCAAAAUUUGCUAGUGGACAUCUAAAACAGAGUUGUUUAUCAUAAACAAUUUGGCUUGUGCCAAUUUUGCCACACGACACUGCAUCUCUUAUUUUAUUUAUUUUCACCGAUUGAGGAACGAAAAUAUUCCAAUAUUGAUGACCCGGUACCCUUGAGCCACAUUUGGGACGGACACGAUCUAGAUCAGUCCGGACCCGAUGAUUAGGUAGUACUUGGUUUAUCAAUAGCAUAGCCAGAGAGCACAAAAUGAAUAGGUGGAUGAAUGUGGCUAGUGUAUGUUAUAGGAGUUGUGAGCUUUGCUACCAUGGGCAUGUUGUUGUAUAACAACACAUGAACUUUGUUUGUAAUGUGUGUGAAAUAAAUGAGACAAAAUAUAGUUAACUCAUACUGCCCUGUUUAAUACAUUUAAAUCAAUACCAAGUUUAAGAGACAUUAUCAGAUUUAAUACAUUUUCAUCAUUAAUAACCAUAUAAAGUUCACUAUAGUAACCCGUUCAUGACAACAUUAAGUUCAAUACAUUACAAAUUUUCAACCAAGAGGCACAAAUAUAAAAAGGCAACAGGGCCCUCUAGCUCUUAUUGUUGGUUCUUGCUUUGUUCACAUGUCACAAAAGCCAAAAAAACAACACACAUAAAGGUCACAAAAGACCAGAACGGGCAUGCAUACAAAUCAUAGUACAAGCGCUUGGAGUGGAUGUCACACGUUGCCUGACUCCUAGUCAUUGGCCACCACUUGGUGUUUGACAUAGCACCUAGUGGACGAUGGGUUUGGAACCCUUCAAGAAUGAACAUGUGGUUAAGAGUUAGUAAACAUACUGAAAAAAUCUUGACUCAAGAGAUAUAGGUCCUAAUAACAUACUGUGUAGCUUGUUUAGGAGGUGUAGCCUCGGUAGGAGUUGCCUUUUUCUUCUUGGGUUGUUUCCCCUUUGAGGAGGCGUUCCUUUUUUGCACCUGGAGGGAUUCGGUGGUCUCUAUAAUCUCAACCACCUUUGGUUUGUAAAUCAUCCUUUUCUUUGGCGGUGCAUUAGUGUCUACGACUGCUUCAUUGCAGGCUUUCUCGAAGUGGCCAAAUCCACCACACACUUUACACCUCCUCUUGCCCUUGUUGCUUGACCCACCUUCUUCAACACCAACCAACCUUAUUUUCUUUGGUCUUACUAUUGCUCUCUUGCAUAUAGGAGGAAGUAGUUUGAAGCCAAGAUUCAUCUUUUCCCACUCUUCUUUGUUUGUCAUAGGUUCAACAACUUCAGGAAUAUCAACAACUUUAGAAAUAUCAACACCAUCAGGAAUGACAUUAUCAUCAGGUAGAAUCAUAGUGAUUGGAAGACAUAUGGCCUGACUCUAUUGUCUGCUAAUAGUAGAUUAAGGGUCACUAGAUGUAUUGGCAUUAGAAACUUCAGACUGGAUUAAGCAAGGUCCAGUGCCAAUAACCUCUAGAGUCACUGGCAGCCUUCUACUUUCCCAAUACACAUGAAAUGCUUCUAGCAGUGUAGAGUCAGAAUCUAUAGGCACCGCUCAUCCUUGGUUUUGUCAAAGAAAGUAACAUUCAUUGCUUGAUCCUUCCCAUAAACUAUCUCCUUGGCAAGCAUAGCAUUCAAAUCCAUCCAACUCGUGGUAUCCUUGUCCACCACACGCAUUAAGUUAUCAACUACAUGAUAAUCAUCAAGCUUAUCUGGUCUUUAGUCUACAUAGGCAGGUACUCUAAUUGCCAUCCUAUAGGAACCCAUCAGAUCCAUCCUAAAUAAAAAAACAUAAGAUCCAAACUAAAUGAUUUCAAACCGUAAUCUUUCUAAUGGAUCCAUAGGCAUACAAAUUGAACGAGUAUGGGUUUAAGAAACCCUUUUGGAAUCCAUUUGACUUGAAGCACCCUUGGCGAAGAAUCGAGGCAUUGUGCGUUCUUCCUAGUAGCAGGGAACUUCAUCUUCUGGUCGGGGGUUGCUGCAGAUCCUCAGCCUCCCAUGGAGGACAACUACAUAAGCUAGAGGUGUUAGCGUCGGCGGUCACUAUAGUGGAUGGCGGCAUAGUGAGUAGUGGAGUUGAUGGCGGCGCCGCGAGCAAUGGAGUGGAGUGCACAAAUGUUGUGGGAGUAGGAUUAGGAAAAUCUAUGACUGUUGUAAACCCUAACUGUCUGAACCGGGUUUGUCUAGAUCGGAUCCGUUCUAAACAUGGCUCAAGGCACCGGAUGUUAGUAGUGAAAUGUUCUCUCCUCAAGCGAUGGAAAUGAAUAAAAUAAAAAGCAAGAAUAUAUUGUGUCAAAUUGACACAACUAGAAUAUCUUCUAGCAAACGUAUCCAUCCAUUUUAGAUGUCCACCAACCAACGAGUCCCCCUGACGAAUUUUUCCUUCCUUGUGUGAUGCCUAUUACUAACGGUUGUGCACAGGAGCAAAUGACAGCCUUUUCGAAUAGGUUAAACUAGGAGGAUUUCCCGCGCGUUGCCACGGGUAUGAAGGAGGAAUAUAAUAAAUAUAUAACUCUUUUUGUUAGCAUAAUCAUUGGAAAUUGUAUCCAUAGUGGAUGAUGUGUCUCGCUGAUGUGGAUGUCAUAAUUCUUAUGCUAUUUAACUUUAAUGCAAAUGAUAGUAGAUUGCUGAGGUGGACACCUUGCAUGUUAAAAGAAAUUGAUAGAUGCAAAUGAUAGUGGACUACUGAGGUGGACGCUUUGCAUUUUAAGAGAAAUAGAUAGUGGGGUUGAUAAUGGACUGCUGAGGUGGACCCAUUGCAUGUCAAGAGAAAUAGAUAGUGGGGUUUUGCUUUAUAAGAGUUAUUCUGUGUCUGGUGCCUAGCAGGGUUACGCGGCGUGAGAGUCAAAUGUGAACUACACUUAUUUAAUCGUCAUAAAAAUAGAAAUCUUCUAGUCCUUCCGUCCUAAAUUUAUAGGACAUUUCUAGAAUCUUGAAGAGUCAAAAUAUUUGAAGUUUGACCAAAUUUAUAUAAUAAAAUAAUAAUAUUUAUGAUAUUAACUAAGUAUCAUUAAAUUCUUCAUUAAUUAUAUUUUCAUAUGUUAUUUAGGUCAAUCUCAAUGGAGUUUUAAUAGAGUUUCGUGAGUAUUAAAUAUGUUAAUGUGGCACCGUAUUAAUGAAUAGAAAGAUGAUAAAAAUUCCAUGGGAGUAGAGAGAGUUUUAUGGGGAUGAAACUCUUCUGCACAAUUUCUAAAAUACGGAUGUGGUGGAAACUAGAUCAAAAAACUCCACUGAGAAUAGUCUUAUUUGGUGUCAUAAAUCUUUAUACUUUUCUCUAUAAUUUUGGUUAAAAUUAAAAUUUUUGACUCUCCAAAUUUUUUUGAAUAUCUUAUAAUUUAGAACUGAGGAAUCAUUUAUAUUUAGGAUUAGGAUUAUUUGACUCUAGAAGAGUGAGAUUGUUAUGUAAGGUAGUUUAUUUUAAUAUUCAAAAUUUAUCAUGUAAGGUAUCCCUCUGUCAUGUAAGGUAGUUUAUUUUAAUAUUCAAAAUUUGUCCUUGAAUAUAAUUUAUUCUGAGUACAAAAUAUAUUUAUAUAUUAAAUAAUUUUUGUUUAUCUGCCAAUCAUCUUUAAUUAAGUUAAUAAUAAUACUUGAUUAAAAAGAAAAGCAAGAACAUAAAUGUAUUUUAUGUUUUCUUAAUUUAUUUUAAAAAUUUUAGAACGCACACGGAGUACGAUCACAGCGCUGGGUAAACACCGAUGCAAAUCGCACAAAAGACCACGCCUUUGCCUAGACGGGCCCACCGAGUCAGGCAAGGUGGCGGUUCCACCGCCCACCGGCCCCACACGUCAUACAACCAGGCAUGUCACACCGUCCACACACGCCAAGCGUUCACACUUCACACGUUCUCCAAAAUCACCUCGGAUUCUUUUCAUCGUGCAGUAAAAAACCUGCAAAUGACCCUCCACUCCAUCCAGUGAAGACUUGAAGACUCGUGCUCCAUCUAUAAAUGGGACCCCCAAGGCUCACAGUUUCUCAUCGCCCCGUCCCAAAUCCUCCACACUGUUCGAUCCACCCAACCCUCCCCAAAACCCCCGACCAAGGAGAGUAGAGCGCGAGAAGAUGUUCGGCUUCGGGCACCACGGCCACCACCACGGCGAGAACCCGCCGGCGCACCCUCCUGCCCACGGCGGCGUGCACCCGCCCACCUUCAAGAUCUUCUGCAAGGCCGACGAGGGGUACUGCCUCACCGUCCGCGACGGCAACGUGGUGCUGGCCCCCUCCAACCCGCGCGACGAGCACCAGCACUGGUACAAGGACAUGCGCUUCAGCAACCAGAUCAAGGACGAGGAAGGCAACCCUGCGUUCGCCCUCGUCAACAAGGCCACUGGCCUCGCCAUCAAGCACUCCCUCGGCCAGUCCCACCCGGUACGGUUGUCGAUCGAUCCGGUUGCGUGCGUGCAUACUUCCUGUUGGAUCUUUGGAUGCUGUCGGUCUUGAUCUUGAUUUCAUUUGAUUUUUUUUUGGUUUUCAGGUGAAGCUGGUGCCGUUCAACCCGGAGUACCAGGACGAGUCGGUGCUGUGGACGGAGAGCGGCGACGUUGGCAAGGGCUUCCGCUGCAUCCGCAUGGUGAACAACAUCCGGCUCAACUUCGACGCCUUCCACGGCGACAAGGACCACGGCGGCGUGCACGACGGCACCACCGUGGUGCUGUGGGAGUGGGCCAAGGGCGACAACCAGAGCUGGAAGAUCCUCCCCUGGGGCGACGAGGCCUACGCCGGCGGCAGCGGCGGCGCCGCCGCCAACGCGCCGUACGGCCACGGCGAGCCGACGGUCCGCAUCUACUGCAAGGCGGACGACGGGUUCAGCGUGACCGUCCGCAACGGCAGCGUGUGCCUGGCGCCGACGAACCCGCGCGACGAGUACCAGCACUGGGUCAAGGACAUGCGGCACAGCAACCGCAUCAAGGACGAGGAAGGGUACCCGGCGUUCGCGCUCGUGAACAGGGUCACCGGCGAGGCCAUCAAGCACUCGCAGGGCGAGGGCCACCCGGUGAAGCUGGUGCCGUACAACCCAAACUACCAGGACGAGUCGGUGCUGUGGACCGAGAGCCGCGACGUCGGCCACGGGUUCCGCUGCAUCCGCAUGGUGAACAACAUCUACCUCAACUUCGACGCCUUCCACGGCGACAAGGACCACGGCGGGGUGCGCGACGGCACCGCCGUCGUGCUCUGGAAGUGGUGCGAGGGCGACAACCAGCGCUGGAAGAUCGUCCCCUGGUGUAAGUCAAAGCCUCACCUCACGCUGAUGCACGACACUUUUCACUUGCUGCCGCUGCUUUUUUUUUCCCCACCUCCAGAAUCUUGAUUUCGGAUAGAAAAAUCAGCACAUCUUACCUACUCGCACUAGAAGCUUUCAUAGAUAAAGUGAUUGUCGGUAGAAACGGAUAGCUCAUCUCGCUACUAUUGUUAGUCCACCUUUUUUUGAAUUAAUAAUGUGUCUAACAUUUCUGUCAAAAGAAGAUUAAUGACGUGUUAAUGUUGCUUGCGUCUGCAGAAAUGUGCGGUGCUGGGGCUGCAUUGGUCAUCACCCAAGAUCUGGAGAUGGAGUUGGAGAGCACAGCCACCUGUGGUCAGCAGCUGCUGCUGCUGCCGUGUUGUUAGAAUAAAGCUGGUGUGCGAUCGAUCCGUGGUGAUGGUGUGUCUUUGUGUGUGUUCAGUCGUGUGUCCUCGGAGCCAGUCCUGCUUCCGUGAGAGAGGGGUACUUCCUCGGUGAGCUUAUCUCACAAAGCCUUACCCCAUCUGAAGCUUGUUAUGCAGAGAGAGUUUUCAGACCUUGAGUGUUAACUCUGUGUUGUACUCGGUUCCUUCCCUUUUUAUCUAAGUGGGUUUUAUCAACCAUAUCUGCUCGCGGUUUAGCUUUGACGUUACUUGCUCCCAACCGAUAAUCGGGCACUGUCAACUGAAGCCCGACGCCCGUUCACGCUUUUUCACUGUUGAAUGCAGAAGCAGAGCAUCGCGUCGUCAGGUUUGCCAUGCGCACGAGCGGGGUCCGGGGUGUGAGUGCUCGUCCGAUCUGGUGAGACAACCCUGGUGCACGCGGCGCAGGACACAGAUAGAAAAGUAUAUUAUCCUCGAGGCGCAUCAGGCAAUGGACCGCUGAUCGCACCAUGGAACUGCUCGGGGGACGCAGUGCACGGCGCAGCGCAAUGUCCGGCCGGCGAGCCACGUUCGUCGUUUCUCAAUCCAUCCACCGCCACCGUCGUGGAGGCUAGGCUGUGGAGCUGGCUGCGUCACCAUUGAUGGUGGCAGGCAGGACUGCGCAAAGGCGUCCUCUUCUCUGUCUCCAAUCCAAGUCCUUCCACGUGUCGGCUGGCCCCACGGUAUGCCGUACUAGGUGGAAAUGGUUUCGGUGAUCCGGUGGAAUAUGCUCGGGACGGCAGCGGAUGCGAAUCAGCCUUCGAGGAGCAAUGCAGCAUGUCUUCGACAGAAAACUUUCAUCAAAGAAUCAAUCAAAGUUCAAACUUAACAUUACGCUGCGACAUUGCCAUGAUGGCAAAUGCAGCAUGGAACGAACAUUAGAGUCGUCCGAGCACGGGGGCAGCAAUUAUAUGGUGUCAAACUGGAUUAAAGCUAGAAAGCUGGAGAAGUACGUAAGGGCGCCUUUGCCUGGUUCUCUGAAACUGAAAGUGAACACCCUUGGAGCUUUCUAAUCAGAGCUCUAGAACGGAGGGACGUAGUGGUGCUGGUGAAGGCCUGUGGUGCUGGUGAGGGCUUGAGGAAGCUCACUGGUAUGGUAUGGCAAUGGGAACCCGGUGGAUGGCCUCCGUAGACAUCUGUGAUGCCGUUGCUUUGGCUGAAAAGCCUGUGAAAGGGCGUGGAGGGACCGAGGGAGCCGAGUAGUCCUGCAGUCUCAACAUUAUUUCCGUUUCACAUGACAGAGGAUUCCACAUGGACACAUACUCAUCGCUGAUUUAUCGUAAAAGAAAAACAUUGUUGACUGACAUAAAAAGUACGGCUGAUAAGACAAGUGAAUGGGCUCCCUAGCAGAAAUUUUACAUUUAUUUCCAUCUCAUUUAAGGUCGUGUUUGGAUUAUACACCUAGUAUGCAUAGGAUUAUUAUAGUUAGGGUUGUAGAUUAUAAUAAUUGAAGUUGGUCAAAGAAAUUGCUAUCUUAUCCUUCGGUUUGGCGAGUUGGAAAACGAGCUGGCGGAACUUUCAGCACCUAUAACCUGGUCUCACAUGGAUUAUGAGAUUGUGGUAAUCAAGGGUUCUGAUUCGAGUAACCCUUCAUAUAAUCAAUCUUGUUUGGAUCAAAAUUUGAUUAUACAGAUUUUAUUAUUAUAAUUAGAUGGUAUCCAAACACGGCUAAGUAGCCAUACUGAUGGACACCACGAGAAAAUUCUUCCUUUGAUACAAGGAAAACUUCUACUUUCUAUCUGACACACAAACUUAAAAUAUUUUCUAUUUGUCAUCACUUUCAUUUUUCUUUCCUGUUUGACACUUUUUGUUACCUUAGAAUAGUAAUGGUGUUAAGUUCCAGAUGAAAAGAUUGUUCUGUCCUUUUUUUUGGCCAGUCGUGGCAUUGCUUUUGGCGGCAAUAGCUGUAUUUUUUUUGGCAUUUUUAUUUCCGAUUGUUAUGUUUCUCUUUUCAAAUUGUUCCAUUGGCAACGGAAAACGUGAUGACUAAAAAAAACAAUAGGGGCAAAAAUGGUGUUUUCAUAUAGAAUCUAACACUGUUACCAAUCUAAACUCUUAUGUAAUGGAAGUGUCGAAUAUGAAACGAAAAAAAAUCGAAAAGGAUGACAAAUGGAGAAGGUUUUAAGUUUAGAAGUCAAAUAGGAAAGCGGUUUUUUUCUAGUGUGAAAUAGAAAAUUUUCUCUAGAGUAUUAGCCUAUUAUGUAUUGUGUUUGAAAAUGAAUAUGACAUACUUUGAAGAUAACUAAUUUUGAUUAGUCAUCGACACUAACUUUAUCUAAAAAUUUACAAUGCCUGUCUUAAAAGGUUGUAAGCUCUACAAUGCUAUAACUGGAUGGUUCAUGGACUAGAUUGUGUAAUUGGCCGUGCCUAGACUCUGUAAUCGUCAGUCCCGCUAAUGGUUCUUGCCAUGGGGCAAACGCACACCGUCCAAAUGAUGUACCAGCGCGUCCAAAUGGUUCUUCCCUAGCCUAUUGCAUUUGCACCCAAGUAGUCAGCUCGUCUAUGACUGGGUUGGGCCUUGGCCGGAGCUGCCACCAGCCCACCACGACUGUGCUUGCGAUGGGCCUGUGCUGUCUAGGGUGGCCCAAGACGGGUCCUUUGAAAUCCAAACCUUCAUUACGGCUGGCCCAACUAGCCCAUUGGAGGAAGUGGCCCAAGACUGCUCCUUUGACGGCCUUGGUUGCUUUCCUUUUCCUGAUCGCAGCUCGUCAUCAACCUAUCGAGACCUGCUUGAUAGAAACAGGAUCUACUAGCAGUGAAUCGAGUCGGGGUACAAAUAAUAUAUAGCAGUAAACAGUGGUACAUGCAUAUGAUUAAUCUACUACUAGAAACAGAGAAACAGAUAGGUUAGGGUUUCGACCAUCAGCGUUCCCGGCAAAAGCGGAUCCGGUGGCGUCCAUAUUGAGAGUGUUGACGCGGUGGCGGAGUAGAUCCCGUCGUCCUUCGGGCCUCCACCGGCACUGACCGACGACGGCGGGGUAGGAGAGUGGCGCAGUGGUGCUUCCCGUCGCCACUGCGCAAGCCGAUCGGAUGGCCUAGGGUUUGUCGAGUGGGUGAUGAGCACAGCGAACUUUGGUUCAUGUGCCUGCGGCCCCCACUUCUAUUUUUAUAGUGUGCCUCCGGAGGCCUACCAACCAUGGAUCGGUUGUGCGUCCCCGAUCAGGACACGAUCCAGAGGGAAAAAGGCCCCAGCCGUUGGGCUGGGCCUGAGAACACUGCUGACUACUAUAGGCCGGAACCUUUCGCCAGCAGGCUAGGCAACGGAACAAUCUGCAGCAGCGUGGCACGAGCGUCGCCGCAUGCCCGUGAUCGUGAAGCAUCCUGUAAUAGCCUCCUCGUCGUCCUCGAAUCCAGCGUCCUGCCGGGCAGUGCCGCCAAAACCAGCACGGUGCUCCGGACCGCGAGCCGCAGUCAGAACAGGGUCGAUCUGUCUGGAGCGCAAGAGACAAUACAUCCUCGUGGUCAAGAGCCGGAUCCAGGAUAUCUGAAGUCUCUGCUGCUGCUUUCGUGUACAAUCCGUCCGUGCGUUCCAUCCAUCCGGACUCCGGAGGCAGUCAAAUGCUACACUCGCCUAGCUAGGAGGACUGGACUGAUUGCGAUCCCGAUCGAGUCCUCGUCGCCCGUGCGUGUCGCUCCACUCAUCUAUCUGAUGGAUCGGUGGCUUUUUUCUGACGUCGGUAUCCAUCGGAGGAAGCCUGCAUCUACGUGAUCGCGGAUGGAUACCGAUACCCUCGGGGCCUCAUCUGCCGGAUCGAGCGUUUUGCUCCCCGGUUUGUGCUCCGGGAUCGCUGCACGGAUGUCGCCGGCCGACGGGAAUUAUAGCUAGGUCGACGCCUAGUAGGAUUCGCGCCAGUACUCCUAGCUACGUUACUCCUACGUUGCAAGGGCAGGGCAGCACGGCGCUAAGGCCAAUUUCGAUGAACAGUAUCACUGUACGAUUUCAGAUACCAAUACAUUAUCGAGAUUGAAAUAAAACCAUCUAUGGAAUAACCCCGCAAUGGAGUAUUUCACUUUGUUGUUUCCAAAGCUAAGCAAAGUAUUUAAUUGCUGCAAAAUAAUUAGAUCACAUAUAAGAUGGUGAAACGAUUUAACCCUCAGUGGAGAUUUCAUUCCGUUUCACCGCGUGGGAAACAACGUCCGUGGAACUACUUCCUUCUCUCUCCUCUUCGUUUCAUGCAAAAAGUGUAGUUUUGCUGACAUGACGCUCUAAUAAAUGUGCAUGACAUCCUGGUGAAACCUCCACUGAGACUGGCCUAACAAGACUUGUAGUUUCAUGGAGUAUGCACAGAAACUAAAAGAACAGGCAACAUGAUGGCAUAAGAUACCCGAAGGGAACCAUAUAUUUCAACCGUGUCCCGUUGCUCUGGACAAUAUGCAGUAAGUACAUCAAAUUCACAUUGCGCGAGUCAUGACAUUGACACGGAAGAACACUUCUUUCCUUUUUUUUCCAAAAUAAAUAAAUGAAUAAAUAAAAUACAAACAUGCUGCCUGUGAGAGGACAGGUACGAUGCAUUAGUCAUCAUUCUCGUGUACGUAGUAAACAAAACGACUAUAAUCCUGGUGAGGGAUUUGAUUGAUGUUUAUUGUCAGGUCGGUCACCAACCAGCUACUGCUCCACGGGUACAGGUACACAAUACUGACCAGCAAGUCAACCAGCACAAAUAGUUUUGCACCAUAGAAAGGAAAAUAUAUUGCUCGCAAAGGAUUCGACAGCUUAUUCAUUGUCAUAAAAAUUACGGGACAAUCAAACCAGACCAGAGGACGGAGAGGCACCACGGCACCAACGCAUAUCCAGCAUCUACGAGUUUCUUUAUGCCUUCUCGGUUUAUCCUGUCCAUAUGCAUCUCAUUUGUUUUUCUGCCGUUGAAAUUAGUGUAAGUUAUUGUGCGAUGCUGACAGAGGAACUAUAAUAGUACGCCGGCAUUACAUUUUUCAGGCAUUGAACUUUGUAUGCCCGUUGUCCGUUGACAACGAUAUAUAUCAUAGUCAGAAUCCGCAGCAUGCACCUUGAGCACCACGACUUUUAAGGGUUCUAUAUAGACGCAAUUCUCUGUUGACGAAGAUUAUGAUUCCUUCUGUGUUCGAUUCUGGUGAUUUGGCUGUAUAAGUCACCAUAGAACCACAAAAUAACUAACCGAAACUUACUGGUGCAGAUACUACUACAUCCAUUACAUCAAGAACCACCCAGCGCUGUGACCGUACUCCAUUGCCAUCAAGAAUUUAUCCUGGUAUAUAAUUCUGUCAUCCUCUGCAAAUUGAUCUUUUCUUAAUCGAUAAUCACACGCAGCGCACACAGACCACUCCAUUUCCAAAACGAUCCAGCCCCAAGUGGGCACCAAUUCCACACGAAAUAAUCCAUGCAUUGCAAACAUAAGCGAACACCAACCCCGCACGUACACACAACCAACGUGUGCGCUUAACCGGAACUCACUAGAACUCGAUCAAUCGCGUUGUAUUAUUGUAUACUAUAUCCAUCUCUGGCAUGCGUCUGUGUCUUAUUUCCCCGGCCUGGGCCUAUAGCUAGCUAGCUAUAGCUAGCUGUGGCUUGCUCCGUCGGGAACGAGUUGCUUGGGUGUGUUGGUGAAGCAGCACGAAUAGCUCGCUAAUCUCCAAAACCCCGCAUGAGCAUGACCCACGCGAUUAUUAUUAGCCACAGCACAGCCAUGUUCAUUAGGCCUUAGGUCGCCGCCGAUCCCCGCCGGCCAACGGGCCGAGCGCGCGAGCGAGGCAUGUGGCUACGGAGGCCGCCGCGUGUGGCGUGCGGCCGCGGCCAUGUAUACGCAUGCACACGUCCGUCCGCGGCCGCAAUCGCACAGCACAGUGUUCGACGGACAUGGCGGCGGCGUCGACGAUCGACUGUCUCGUGCUGGCCGCAAAGGUUCUCCUGGCCGGGUUGAUGCGCACGCAACUCGAUCGAUCGGUGUAGAUGGCUAGCUGUGCCCUUCUUUGCUUGCGUGCGUGACACCGCUUGCAAAUGGUUAUAGAAAUGCUGAGUGUUUAGUGUGUUACACGGUGUUUUUCUGGGCACGAGCACACGGACGGAGCAUCAUCUGGCCACCAGUACAUUAUUGUUCGCUCGUCUUAUUAUGAGAUGUACUGUUUUAGCGAACAAACAGUGUUUUUCUCUCGCAACAACAAAUCCGCGAACGGUGUUUUUUUACUUCUUCGACGGAUGUCCACUGCACCUAUCAAGCUUUGCUGCGCUUGCUCACGGCAGGCCCGGGGAUGUGGCUCUGCCACUCUGGUCUUGUGGGCUUUCUGGCAUCCUCAUCAUUCCUUCUCGCAUCAUGCACACUGGCUAGCUAGUAGUUGAUCUCACGUCUGACGUCAGUGCCAGAACAGCCAUCAGAAAACAGGAGUGAGGAAAAAAAGAUGAUGGGUCGAUCGCAGAUACUACUCCGGCGUGUAGCGCGGUACCGGACGAGUUCCAAGCUUUGGUUUGAUAUUACUACUUUGGGCCUUGUUUAGUUCCUCAAAAAUUUUGCAAAAUUUUUCAGAUUCUCCGUCACAUCGAAUCUUUAGACGUAUGCAUAGAGUAUUAAAUAUAGAUGAAAAUAAAAAGUAAUUGCACAGUUUGGUCGAAAUUGACGAGACGAAUCUUUUGAGCCUAGUUAGUCCAUAAUUGAAUAAUAUUUGUCAAAUACAAACGAAAGUGCUACUAUUCCUAUUUUGCAAAAUUUUUUGGAACUAAACAAGGCCUUGAUGCAUGCGUGCAAACGUGCUGACAAGGCGCGUUGAAAUUCGCAUGCUCUACCUAACCAUAUCUUAAGAAGCGUCCUAACGCCAUGUUAUGACGACUCAUCACCUUCACUACAAAAAUGUUACGUACGACUAGUCUUAAGACCGAGCCUAAUAUAUCAUCAUCGCAGGGUACACGGAUGAUCCACGCACUCCACUCCGAUCCGCGCCCAUUGUUAAGGCACCCCGAACAGCGGACGUACGCUCCUUGUUUUUGCCCAGAAAAGAAAAGAGACGACGCAUGCAUGGGCUUGUACGAUCUCUACCAAACUAUACCGACUCAUGAGCCCUUUACCCUGACUUAAAACCCAUCUUCAGUACUACUAGAAAAGGUCUAGCGUUGAUCUUCGUAUUAGGGUCUUGUUUACUUUUUAAAAAAUUUGCAAAAUUUAUUAAGAUUUUUUAUCAUAAUAAAUCUUGAGGCACAUGUAUAUAACAUUAAAUAUAGAUUAAAAAAUAAUUAUUUGCACAGUUUACUUAUAAUUUACAAGACAAAAUCUUUUAAACAUAGUUAGUCUAUUGUGAAAUACAAACGAAAAUACUGCUGCGUUCAUUUCUAAUUUUUUUUCAACUAGGCCUAAUAGGCGAUAAAAGUCCAUGCUUGGAUGAUAGAUGGGGAGCAGCGGCAGCAUGUGCGCAACAAUUUAUUUCACCGCAGCGUACGGCCGCGGCGGGGCGCCGGGCAUCGCGAGACCGCCGUCCUGCAGCUGCCGGCGCGGCGCAGGCUGGGACGAUCUCGAGAAUUACCGCCGCCACGCGUGCAUGUUAACUACGGUUUAUGCCGUGCCACCAGCCUAUUAUUAGCGCUAACGUGAGCGGUUAAAACACUUCUACUUGGGGUACUACUGCUCCUAUCAAUCAUGCGCUUCGAUCGGCUUUUAUUGGCAGGCCCGUCAGCAGUCGUGAUUGCUGCCUUGCUGGUAGUACUCCUACUUACCACGAAGAUUCUUACCACGUGUCGCCUAAGGAGGUGAUCCAGCCAUUAUCUUUGGUACGGAAGUAGUAGCAGCAAAUACAAUGUGCAAGAGUUACGGCUAGCACUUGGGCUCUUCCACCGUGAGAGCCUGUAACACUACCCCAUCAGGUUGCUUUCACUACAGACUACUCGUAGAUAGCUCGCCCGCUGUAAAAAUUGUCACGUACUACUGCGUCCAUCCCUUCUCGUAGAAAUCGCAAUUUUCACACGGAGACGCGCCACGCGCCAGGCUAUCGGUUAUCUAUCGCGGUAGCACGAGUAAAAUCAGUCAAACAAACGGGCCGUGACUGCCGUACGCCCGCAACUCUCGACGAACGAACGACGGGAUGGUGACCAGACCAGCGCGUGCGAUCACAUCCUCGCCGUGCUUUAGCACAGUUUAGCCGCACAAAACAACGGGCUCGGCGCGCAGCAACACCUGGCCCGCGUACGCACCGCAUUGUCCCACCGGACGCGCACGUACGCAGCGCCGGCGUAGACGCGUAGUGCGCCUUGUAGCCCGGCGGGGCGGGCGCCGCGCCGCACACGACGGCACGGACGGUCCCGUCGCCGGCCUGCGCGCGGUCACGCUCGCUCUGUCGCGCCCGUGCUGGAUGUUCGACGGGAUGGGCCGUGGGCGUUGGGCGGCGGCCGCGGUUGGGUGCACCUGCGCGGACGAACGGAUGGGACGCGGCACGCGCCGCACUGCGGAAAGCGUUCGUUUUCCGUUGGGCCCGCCCGCCCGGGUGCCGCCGCAGCUGACGCGAGCGCGUCGCGCGCACAGUUAUCCGAGAACCGAAGGUGCGUCGCCUAGCCUGUCAGGAUGAGGUCGGUACUCGGUAGUUAAGCCGGACACCGUGAGCCUAGGCGAUACUCACUCUGUCUUGUAGAACAAUACUUCAACUAGGCCUUAUUUAAUUUGUGAAAUUUUUUAACUUUGGCUAUUGUUUCAUUUUUGUUUAUAUUUAAUAAUUAUUUUUAAAUCACAGACUAACUAUAUUUUAAAAAAUUUAUCUAGCAAAUUACAGAUAAACUGUAUAAUUAAUUUUUAUUUUUCGUAUAUAUUUAAUACUCUAUGUAUGUGUUUAAAAAUUUGAUGUGAUGAGAAAUCUUAAAAAAAAUUAAGAACUAAAGCAUGUCUUAAAAGAACACUGAAAUGACAUAUGAAUUUAUAGAUUAUUUCAACAAAUCUUGCCAAAUCGAAAUAUAGUCAUAAUUUAAAAUGCAUUAUAUUUCAAUAUAAACUUUAGAAGUCCAAUGCACUUUAUUUUAAGAUGAAGUAUAUGCCUUAUAAUAUGUUUCUGUAUUGUAAUGGACGGCAAAAGAGGUGUUUGAUCUUGUCUGAGUAUCUUGGUGGACACCAAAUAAAAAUCGAGAUACAUGGUUUAUGUGUCUUCCAUACAAUCGUGUUUCAAGAGAUUCAUCAUAUCAAACAAUCAAAGUCAACUAUUUAUUAUAACUACUAAAUUCGUUCUUGGGGCGGUGCUUUGUUGCAGAUACGUAAGGACAGUCCCAUCCAAUAAGGCGGUGUAGGUUAGGGUUGUUACAGUUUAAUAGAUAUUGUAGUAUUUUUGUUUUAUUUAAUAAUUAGUAUUAAUUUAUAGACUAAUUAGGCUCAAAAGAUUCGUCUCACAAAUUACUCUCUAACUAUAUUUUUAGUUUUGUAAAUAGUCUAUAUUUAGUACUCUAUGCAUGUGUCUAAACAUUUGAUGUGACGCGCAGUAAACUUUAACAUACGCAACCAAACGGGGCCUAAACUAGUUUGUUCCUAGCAUUGAUUAAUAUGCUAAUUAAAUAAAAUAAUGACGACAUGGCAUUAUAAAUAAAGAAUAGAGAUACGAAAUAGUUUUUUUUAUAAGAAAUUAUGUCUAUACAAGAACUACGACAAAAAGAAAUAUGAUAGGUGGUCACGGAAGAGAGAAGGUAUGUAACUGAUUAAAAAUCUAUUUUGAAGAAACUAUUCAUCAAAAACAUUGUGUUGCAUAUAUGUCCUAGCAAGUAUAGAAUCGAAUGCCUUGGGAUUUUGACCUUGCAUCGGUUGUUUAGUGAGGCUUUUUGACUAGGGCUGGUUAUGUGCCCGUUCGGCUCGACUCGCUUAUUAGGUCACGAGCCAUGUAUAAAAAACAUACGAAAGUAACACAUCAUAAACAUUAAAUCAAGUACAUUAAGUAACAUGGCAAUAUAUAUCAUAGCAUUAUACAAUACAUCCAUGGUUCAUACUGCAUACUAAUACAUAAUGCAUCCAUAAUCCAUUAUUGAUUAUUUGUACGUCUAUUAAAAACAAAAUAAUAGAGUUUAAUACUUCAAAGUUUAUAGGGUCUAGGUUCAAACAUCAACCAGUUGUAAAGUGUAAACCAUUAUGUGAAAUAACUAAUUUAAAUUUAAGGUAAAUAAUAUGGCUCGCUAGUCUUGUGAACUAGCUUCAGCGAGACCCUACUACACCGCGGCGGGGUGGUGGGUGAUGGUGCCAACAAGGGCGUACCAGGAAGAAUGGGAUGUGUGGGGAGAAGGAGAAAGUGUGUAGACGAACUCUCUGCAAAUGCACAUGUGGGCUAAAGCAACGUCUAAACUUAUUUUAACAAUAACCAUCGCCUAAAAGCAAACUAAAAUCAGAUACGUGAACUUUAGCAAAUCGUAUAUUUGUGGUUGUCUUCACAAAGGACCUAGGAAGCCAAUGUUCGUCUCGUCGAACUUGAAUAGUAGACAAGUUUUGCGCAACUUGGCAUUCCAUCAAACAUAUAUGCCUAACUUAGCUUCAUGAGAAUUGUAUAGCAAGCCCAUAGGGGUGUAAAUGACGAAAUAAAAAACACUAGUAACUAUAUUUAUUUCACUUUUCCUAAAAAGCAGACGUUUGAAAUCUGUCUUUGGUCAGGUGAUAACGUGAUCCUUUGAUCUUGCUUCAAGAUUCUUAUACAUGAUGAUCUUCUCAUGGCCCACAGCCGUUGCAUGAACAAAUACCCGAAAAAUAGCAAAUACGUAUUUAUUUUGGUAUAGGAGGAGAUAUCGGAGACGUUUGUUUCUCGUUCUGGUGGAGUAGUAUCCCUCAAGUUCCUAUAAAAUUUUGUUGGGUUCACCAAUCAUUUACUGAGAGAGUUUUCUCGCUCCACUACGCUUGAUCGGGGGACAGUAGAGGACACUCAAGCACCAACUACGUCUCGGCCGUUUGUGAGGACAUCCUACGAUUCUAUCUACUCCUAUUAUCAUCUUCCAUGCGAUGCUUAUCUCUAAGAAAAAAAGAAUCUUCUUAUCCCCGACUUCCCAAGUGAGGAGUACUAUACUACAGUACUACCACCUGAUCCUGUGUGAGCGAGAGCAUAUCAGCUGGAGCUGAGCGCAUUGCGACACGUGACUCAUGUGGCCGGAUGCAGGCAAUACAACAGUUCCAUUCCAUGUGUAAAUCACUGCCAGGCUAAGAAUAGGCAAGCAGGAUUAUCCAAUCGGCCGGACAACAGCACCAGAAUACGGCUUCGGCUGAACCGGGUGGAGGCAGGAACUGCAGGGUAUCGUGGCCUGUAGGCGCGCGCGUUCGCAGGAAUCUCGCCGGUUCCGUCAAGGUUGUUGGCGCAUACACUCGCAUUGCGCCAGGAUUUGGGCAUGCCAUUGCCAUCCAUUGCCCACAUGAUCUAUCCAUUCCCCCACAUGAAAGAGACGACCUUUUGAGACAGGAAAGAUGCGUGUUUGAUUGUUUGAGCUGAUCACCGACCGAAAUUUUCAAUGCUAAUUGAUCCGGUACACCAGAGAGUGAGAUAUCCUCCCGGCCGGUGACUCGGUGAGUCAAGUGCAUCUUUUUGAAGGAUGCAAUGUAUACCUUCGGGGAAGGAUGAUGAUGGUACUGAAGCCGUAUGCUUAUCUGUUUAUGAUUGAUAAGGCCUUGUUUAGUUCGCUCCAAAAGCCAAAAUUUUUUUCAAGAUUCUCCAUCAUAUCGAAUCUUGCGGCAUAUGCAUGAGACACUAAAUAUAGAUGAAAAUUAAAACUAAUUACACAGUUUACCUGUAAAUUGCGAGAUGAAUCUUUUAAGCCUACUUACUCCAUGAUUGGACAAUGUUUGUCACAAACAAACAAAAGUGCUACAGUUCCGAAAACCAAAAAAUUUUCGGAAGUAAACAAGGCCUAAUGCAAAUGCAUUUCGGCGACUAGGGUGCAGGGCCUUCGGUAUUAAGAUUCCCUAACUGCUGGUACCGGUCAAAAUAAUCCAUAGAAAUAAAUAUAAGAUAUAUAGAUAUAAUGUAAAGCAAGAAUAAUAAAAGUAUUUGAAAUGUUUAUUUACGUUCCCCCUGGUUGGUUAUAGAUUGGUUCUUAUGCGGCAUUCGUUGGACCUUGAAUCAGUCUUCAGAAUAGACUCCUUCGAUGAAAAUUCUAGAGCAUAUUAAAUAGUUCUUAACAUAUCUUCUGAGCUUUCUACCGAAGAAUAGAAAGAACAAAUUGCUACAUCACUACAUGAGUAAGAUACACCAUGGUGGAUAGCAGCUUGAAGUGGAGCUGUUGUUGUUUUUGGUAAAGCAUUUAGUAAAUCGCUUCUUCUAGUACACUAAUGAUAUCCGUGUUUUUUUCUUUUCACCUCAUCACUCUCCUCACUUCCUCCUGCUCAUUCUUCUUCUCUGCCGCCCCCACCCUACCCGCUCUGUUUCCAACAAUCACCCUGUCCUUAGUUGUAUGCCGCCUAGUAACAGCUCGCCUCUUCCUCUGCCGCCCUCCGCCCACCCUACCUGUCACGCGGCCUUGGCUCCCGCCAUGGUCUCUGAUCGCUCGAGCUUCUUCUCCGCUGCCAACUUUGCGCAUGGCCCUAGGCCCCUAGGGACAUCGGUGUCCAUCUCGUGUGAGAAGGAAGCAGAUACAAUGAUAGCUACUAAAAAUCGUUUUACUCUCUAAAUUUUUAUUUAGUCCUUUUUAGCAUAAUCUAUUUAUGUUUUUAUUUUAGGUCUAACCGAUUUUGAUCGUAAUUUAAAUUGUAUUCCUAGACCCUCUAUUUGUGGUAACGCUAAUGGAAGCGUGUAACAAGCAAAACUCUACUGAUGCUUGGCUUGGCUCACAUUUCAAGGGUGUUUAGUUUCCCAUAGAAUUCAAAAUGCAAAAUACCAACUAUUUUGGAGUGAUGAAAUGCAAAAUGCCAAAAUUUUCAGAGUCAUGUUUAGUACAUCCAAAAUGCAAAAUUUAUUGUACUCUUGAAGCCUCUUGAGGCUCAUUUUGGGUUUUUUUGGCCUCUUGAGGCCAAAAUCUAAAAUGGAGAAUAACUACUUUUUUACCAAAAUUUUUGCAUGGUGUUUAGUUCCAUUUUGCAAAAUGAUGGACCAAAACCCAAAUUUUUUGGCAAAAAAUGGGAACUAAACACCCCCUCACACAGAUAAUUCCGCUGCAUUCCGUCCAUGUCUUGCACUGUAAGCCUGGGCAUUCCGGUUACCUGAUUUUUUUGGGUCGGGUAAUUCGGGUAAUUCAAAAUUCGAGUAAUAAAAAUUGUUACCCGAUAUUAGUCCCGAAAAGCCACUACCUGCAAUUUCGGGUACCCGAUAAUUCGGGUUCGGGUAUUCCCGAUUUACCCGAAUUUUCAAAAAACAACACAGUACACAAAUUUUCAAUAGCAAUUUAUAUAUAAUUUCAGCAGCAAUUUGUAUAGAAUUUCAAUAGCAUUUUGUAGAGAAUAAUAUAUUACUAUCACUUGUUCCAACAAAGAGAAUUAUGUUCUAAUAAAUUGAUAAGUUCUAAUAUUUAACUAACAACACAUGAUAAAUGCAAAGACAUGGAUAAAUGUUUGGGGGUAAUUCGGGUAGUUCGGGUGCCGAGGUAUAUUACCCGAAUUACCUAAACUAAUUUUGGGUAAUAAAAAUCGCUAUCUGAAUUUAGGAUUAGGUACCUCGGGUUUGAGUAAUUCGGGUUUGGAUCCGGAUAAUUCGGAUACAGAUAAUAGGUAUUGGAUAAUUUGUCCAGGCUUAUUGCACUGCACUUGGAUACGUCUGGAAGCCUGGAAGAACACGAGAGGAGGGGGGGGGGGGGGGGCAAAAUAACCGGUGGCUAUUUCCGGCCAGAACAGAAGCACGUCAUGGCUUGACAUUUUGCCCUCCGGCCGCUUAAAGCGUGGAUCUUGGGCCUUGUUUAGUUCCAAAAAAAUUUUGAAAAACUUUUCAGAUUCCCCGUCACAUCGAAUCUUUAGACGCAUGCAUGAAGUAUUAAAUAUAGAUGAAAAUAAAAACUAAUUGCACAGUUUGGUCGAAAUUGACGAGACGAAUCUUUUGAGCCUAGUUAGUCCAUGAUUGGAUAAUUUUUGUCAAAUACAAACGAAAGUGCUACAGUGUCGAUUUUGUUAAAUUUUUUGGAACUAAAAAAGGCCCAGGGUCUGGGACCAAGCCCUGAUGGCACUACGGACACCGAGUGUGCCCCCUUCCGAAACCGAAUGGGAAAACGGCUCGUCGUCCCGUCGAAUUUUCUGCGCUUUUGGUCCGGUUGCGCCCAUACACCGGUGUAAUGUGUAAAGCCCUCGGUAUCUUUGCACAAAAUUGUCGCCGUUGCCGCCGGUCCGUCGUGUGACGUUUACGCGCGUCCAGUAGACAGCGAACAAAGAGUUUCCCAAAAGAACGGAAGCGAGCACCACCGCAAAGCACGGAGCUCCGCCUGGGCGCCUGUCAUGGUAAUCUGGAUUCCUCACCGUUUUCUGGAAAGGAACUGGCCGGGAAUAUCUGCUGCCCCUGCCCGGCCCGGGCAGCGAGCGCCGGGUUGAAUUCUUCACGCUGGCAUGUGGGGACAGAUAGAUAGGCUCCCCUGUGUAACCUGUUGCCCAGUCCCACUCGUUUUUUUUUUUUUUUGAAAGCUCCCCACUCGUUUUCAAAGUCAGAGAAGUAAGCAAAACUCCUACUGUGCUGUAUUAAAAGGUUGUGAUGAUAUUUUAAAGCAGCAGAGCUCUGGUUUUCAAUUCUCAACCGCAUUUUUUUCUUCUUUUUACACAACAAUUCUCGACCGCAUCGUUGCCGCGUUAGCUGUGAACGGGCCGAGUGAAUAUUCCGCAGGCCAGUGGAGGGGUGCGGGGCGGGCACAGGAUUUGGACAAGGGUGGGGUGCCAUUAGGAUUAGGACAGGUAAUUUGGAAGUUGCUUAGGGGGCCAGUCACUGCUGGUGGCGCUGGCGGUGUCCGUUUCAAUACACUGUUUCCAAAACAAAUUUAUUGACAGAGCAUCAAUGAAACGAACAAUGAAACAACCUCCACAAUACAGUACGUAUCACCUUGAUGUUUCCUAGGCUGGGCAAAGCAUUUAAUUACUGCAAAAUGAUUAUAUCACAUGCAAGAUGGUGAAACAAUUUAGUCCUCAGUGGGGAUUUCAUCCUGUUUCACCGCGUGGGAAACAACGCCAGCGGAGUUUCACCAUGGUUAAACUAUUUUCUUCUUUCUCCUCUUCGUUUCAUGUAAAAAGUACAGUUUUGCUGAUAUGGUGCUCUAAUAAAUGUACAUGACAUCCUGGUGAAACCUCUACUAAAACUGACCUAACAAAGAGAAGAGAGGGAGAGACGUGAACCUGGCCGGCCCCCCGCCCCGGUCCCCGCCGGACGGGGUCCGUCGCCUACAAGCCGCCUCCGCACGGCUCUGCGCUCCCGGCCCGUCCGUCGUCCACAGCGUCGAUCUCGACCCAGCCCUAUAUAAAGCCGCCCCAGUCCCCCCGCUCCUCCAGUCCAAGCCCCUUGCCUUCUUUCUCAACCCACCUCUCUCUCUUUCACACACGCCUCUCCAUCUCUCUUCCUGCCUGAGGCAGCCAUUUCCGCUUCCGAUCGUGGAGGGAGGCUUGGAGUGGAAGGAGGAAAAGGAGGCAGCUGCUGGUUUUCGGUGCGGCGGAGAUGUCUGAGGUGUCGGUGAUAAACCAGGCGGAGGUGGAGGAUGCGGGUGCCGCCGGGCAGCUGGACCUGCCGCCGGGCUUCCGCUUCCACCCCACCGACGAGGAGAUCAUCUCGCACUACCUCACCCACAAGGCCCUCAACCACCGCUUCAUCUCCGGCGUCAUCGGCGAGGUCGACCUCAACAAGUGCGAGCCAUGGGACCUCCCAGGUUAGUACUUGAUACAUAUCCUCCUCAACGCCUCAUCAGCUAAACCUGCACCUUUCUUUUUCUCCCUUGUGCUUCUGUACUAGUAGUAGUACUUGUUUCUCGCCUGGAAAUCAUGGGCCUAAUUGAAAAGCUUGCCUUGCGUUUGAUUUCUCCAGGCAGGGCCAAGAUGGGGGAGAAGGAGUGGUACUUCUUCUGCCACAAGGAUCGCAAGUACCCGACGGGCACGCGGACCAACCGCGCCACCGAGACCGGCUACUGGAAGGCCACCGGCAAGGACAAGGAGAUCUUCAGGGGCCGCGGCAUCCUCGUGGGCAUGAAGAAGACGCUCGUCUUCUACCGCGGCCGCGCGCCGCGGGGAGAGAAGACCGGCUGGGUCAUGCACGAGUUUCGCCUUGAGGGCAAGCUCCCGCAGCCGCUCCCGCGCUCCGCCAAGGUCCGGCGACCCUGUUCUUAUCGCCUCGUUUAAUUACUUGUUCGGCUUUGGAAAUCUCCUUUUCCCUUUCCGGCCGGUGGGCUAAAAUCCACUUCUUUUUUGUUCUUGUGUGCAGGACGAGUGGGCCGUGUGCAAGGUGUUCAACAAGGAGCUGGCGGCGAGGACCGAGCCAAUGGCGGCGGCUGUGGCCGGCGCCGAGCUCGAGCGCGUCGGUUCGCUGGGCUUCCUCAACGAGCUCCUCGACUCCGCGGAGCUGCCGGCCCUCAUCGGCGCCGACGUGGACGAGGUGAUCGACUUCAAGGGCCCCGCGUCCACCUCCGGCCUGCACGCCGGCGCGCCGGGCACGAGCUACCUUCCGGUGAAGAUGGAGGAGCACGCGCUGCUGCAGCAGAUGCAGUACCAGCAGCAGCCGCCCCCGAUGUUCUACUCGAGCCAGUACUUCUCGCUGCCGGCGAUGAACUCCGGCGACCUCCCUCCGGCGAUCCGGAGGUACUGCAAGGCGGAGCAGCAGGUGGUGUCGUCGGGGCAGACGGCGUCGGUGGUCAGCCCGUCCCGCGAGACCGGGCUCAGCACCGACCGCAACGCGGCAGGCGGCGGCUACGCGGAGAUCUCGUCGGCGGUGACCCCGUCGUCGUCGCACCAGUUCCUGCCCGAGCUCGACGACCCGGUCCUCAACCUCGCCGACCUCUGGAAGUACUGAACGACGAUGGAUCGAUCGACCGGUGGCUGGCGCUGGCGGGCCGCCCACCCGCCUCGCGGCCUCGCCCGAUCACAUGAUUUGGUUGGUUAAUUGCUUGAUUUGAUUGAUUAUCUUGGUCUGUUCUGGGAUUGGGGUUGGUGACGGACCGCUGAUGCAUCGUCGUCACCUCCGCCAAGUCCGGCCUCAACUGACCUCGGGUCUGACUAGAUUAUUAUCCGUCCAGACCGCCAGGGGAUUAGGGCCUCCGAUCCUUGUUAAUUAAUCCCCCACCCAUCCUAGGUUCCUUGUCUUGGUCUCUGUACAUAGUACUACUACUCUGAUUGUGUCAUUAGCAGUAGCAUGAUUACUGAUAGGAUUAAUGAAAUGGGGGGUAGAUUAGGGGGGGCCUGCAUCUGCGUCAGCCGUCAGCAGUGCAGUGCAGGGGGGAUUUUAUCGAAUUGAUUAGUUAAUUUUGGGCGCUUGAUGAGCCACCAGCUAGCGCUAGCUUUAUACUACUACUAUGUACAUGUACUACCAUUAAUUGCUGCUUGAGCUCGACAUGCCAUUAUGUGAUGAAUUUGAUGCUUCAGUUAACCUCUUGUAAAAAGCUCCUCCGAUCCGUCCUCUUUGUACCGGUACCGCUUUCCACUUGUUGCUCCUUUCCGAUAUCUAGCCGCAACCGCCUCAUGGAUGCGAUGCGAUGGGUCGGGCCAUGAACGGAUCACAGAUCGUUCGAUCCCUGGGGCCCUCGCCGCCAUCGCACCGCACGCGACGAGACGACGCCAGGGGUAUGGGGCAGGCAGAGGCACUCAUCACUCGCUCGCCCCUGUUGGGAUCCAAAUCCGGCCAAUUAUUUGGGGGGAGGCGGGCGACGUCGUCCUCAUCGCGGCCAAUUGGUGGAUCGGCGGCCGCGGCAAUGGCUACCGCAAGCAAGGGUGGCCUGGCCUACCGCCCGCCGGCUCCAGAGCCUUAUCCUCCUCCUUUCGGAAACCUCAGCGGCGCGCCCGUCGCCGACGUCUCUCCACGCGCGCGUAAAAAGCCAGCGGAACAGACAGACGACACGGGAACACAGAAACCGACCGUGCACAACCACCAUCCUAACCAACCCAACCCGACUACUGCUAGCCGUCUAGCCUCCACGGCCCACGGUCGCCACGGGAGGAAAAAAAAAAACCUGCCAUCACUGCACCGACGACGGCCGACGGGGACGGGCCCGGUGAAGUGAAAUUACCGCGUGCGCGUGUGGGCGCGUGGGCGGGGCGCGCCACGCACGGGACGGCGUCGCUGCGGCCGUUGCGUUUCGUCUGGUUUCGCUUGUGCGCGCAGGCGCAGCACAGGAUGGGCUUGGCGCUUGCAUUGCUUUCCGUUGGAAGCAAGAGGCUUGUGCCGUUGUGCGGCGGUGGGCGGAGGCAGCGGACGCCGGGUUUCCGGGCGGUGUAUGGCACGGCCAGCGCGUCCGUUUCCCACGCGCUGGCGUUGCCUUGGUUGAUGCAUCAAAAAUCCGGUGAAGGCAGAGUGGGAUGGAAUGGAAGGAUCGGAGAGAUUCGCUGUGAUAAACAAGGAGCUAGUCAGCUACGUUGAUAAUAAUUGUCGCAUGGCGUGGCGCGGCGCGAAUAUUCUCUUCUUCUCAAGUUUCCUCUCACCUAAACCUCGCCGGCCCCAAGGCUACACGAGGGCGCCGGGACCGGGAGUGAGUGACGACGCAAAAACAACUCCGGCAGGAGCUGGUCACCUCACCUCCUCCGCGCGCCGUGGCCCUGCCGCUGGGUGGGUGGUGGUUUCGAUUGGAUUGGAUCGGAUCGGAUCGAACUGUCCAAGUCGUGGCACCGUGCGUGACGUCACAACUUUAGGCUCCCGUUCAUUGGCGCUCGCCUCUAAAUUAUACUACUGCUAGUACUACUAGUAUACUAGUAUUCUAGUGCUCGUCGUCCUUUUUUUUUCUCUCUCGUUGAAUAAAGAACACCAUCUUGGACGUAAGGGGAAGCUGGCUCUAGCCCUCUACUAUGAGCUCUACAAAAAUUAAUCAGCAUUGCUCUCUCUUUCCUUCUCUGCUCAGAGUGCAUGUUGCCUAGCUAGCUUAGCGCCCUGUGUUAGUGCCCGCGCUAAUCAAAUUCUCCCGGACCCGGACACGGGAGAUUUAGGUUAAUUAAUUGCAGAGGUACAUGUCCAGAUCGAUGCAGGUUGCUUUCAGUCUGGUGAUUAGGGCGCGGAUUUUCUAGUGGCUUAUCCGGCGAUUGACGUCGUCUACGACGGCCCACUAGCACGCAUUAGAUAAUCUUGUUUAAACGCUUCCUCGCUCCCGGCUUUCUUUAAUUUUCUGCACUGCAAUCACCGGCGGACGUGACGACUAACUACCCGGCAUAUGGCAGCGCGCGCGCACCGCAGGAGUCUCUCCAGACCUUUUUGCAUCACAACGGAAUUUCCCAACCCAAAGGCCAAAGCUCAACCGGUUCCGGACAUGGACAAGAUCAGGCUAAAAUUUGGCACUGCCCGGUGACGACUGAUGGUAUUUUGUUCGUAAGUUAUCAGGACAUGUUCGUGAUUAGGUCAUGAAUCGCAGUCUUUGCGCCGAGGUCCACCUGGUGAGUGGCGACCGGUCACCAACUAUCUGCCGGCGGCGAAGAGGAGCCUAGGUGCGCAGCUCAUGUGCGUCACAGUUCGCCGGGCAUAGGAGCAUAGGUGUGUGUGUGUGUGCGCGCGCGCGCGCGCGCCGGCGCGCUCCGUCUCUCCGGCCGGCCGUCUAGCUAAGCUAGCUGUCGGCUGAUCACUGCCGUCUCUCCGUCGGUUGUGGCCGUUUCUCAGUUUCUCCACAGCCCGUUUCUCAGUUUCAACUCCGCGGCGCGCCAGAGGGCGACACGCGUGCUGUCUUCCAGAAGACACACACAGGGCUCAACAAGUGGCCGUGUCAUAUAUUACAUACGCGACUGCAUUUUCGACAGCUGCGUGCAACCUUUUGUUUGCUCCUUGUGCAAGCAGAGAGACAUGGAUAUAUAUAUUGGCCGGUGGUGAUCGAUCCCAGAUAUACUUUUUUUGGGAAAGGGAUCCAACGAAGACCCGUUUUCUUAAAGCUUGAAAUCCUCGCUGACAACUGUGUUUGCGCACACGAUCUAUCGUUGUCCACUUGAUUUGGGCUGUCCUAAAGUGUUAAUUUCAUCUUAUCUUAUAUAUAUAGAUAUAGAUAGAAGAAUGAUAUUGUAGCAAUGCGCUAAGUUUUUUCAUGCACCUCCAUAAUAAAUAUCAAUGUGGUAUUAAUCGAUGCUAUCAUGCUUUUACGCUUUUACUAAUGGCCUACUAGAGAACAUAUGUUUACGGGCUUUUAAUAAGAUUUACUGCGUAUUAGAAUGUCUAAAUGUUAAACGGACUUGGAGGUCUAGUACAUAUAAUUUUUCAAACGCUAUAUUUCUUCAGUUCAUUGGUUUUUUUUAAAUCGAACGGUUUCAUGUUAAACAUGGGGUACUGAAUUUUUUCAGAGAAACGGCUGCAAAUUCCUUGCUCAGCGUCCUGGGAAGCUGUGGCGUACGUCACUGCACGUGAUGACGGGCCAGUUUAAUCCGCUGCCGCGCAAGUCGCUCUCUCGGGCACGACGUCUGACGCGCUUCGGCUCGUGCAGGCGCGUGCCAUGGCAAAUGUCGUUGCCGCCAUGGCCCCCACUAGUCUCCUCCGAUUGGUUUGGUCUAGUCUGUCUUGGUGUCCAAGAAAAAAAAAAAUCCCCCAAACCCAAAGGCCAAAAGCCAAACGGCCUUGGACCCACCACACGUGUCCAUCUCUCUCAUCUCAUGUUCUAGAUGAAAACCUCGUGCACUCAUGAUCUGAUCAUGGAUUUAUCACACCGCCCGCGCGCUACUACUCGUACUGCAAAGCAUUUCUUGGCUGCCAAUAAAUGGCCGCCCACAAUUAUCACAUCCGUUUGGUUGAUGAAAAGGCGCCAUGGAUCAUUGGUUUGUAGUCACUCGGUUCCCCAAAAAUGUAAUUAUAACACAGUUCAAUGUUUUUACAUACUCCAUAUUAAAAAAACUGGACGUUCUGGACUCCAAUCGUGAAAUCAGAAAACCUGACGUUCCGUGCUGGCGUGACUCUGCUUGGACGGGUUUACCCCUCGCUCUGCGUCUGUUCUGCUCUCGCGGUGCGUUUUAAAUGGCCAAAAAUAAUGGGGCCGGCAAGGAAUCGAACCCACCACCUCACGGCCAACAACUCGGCCCUCAACGCACUAGCCAUCUCAACAACAGAACUUUCUCGUAUAUAGUGCACCAACAACCAUAUUUAAUAGGGGUAGACAAGGAAAAAUACUCCCUAAUUAAUCACUCCUUGGCUACCGUAAUCAUGUCCAAAACGUCAGGUUUUUUUUAGUAUGGAGGGAGUAUCAAGUUUAACCAAUUAUAUAUUAAAAAACUAUAAUUUGUUAUGACAUAAAUUAGUACCAUUAGAUUUGUUAUGAGAAAUAUUUUUAUAAUAUAUUUUUUGUGUCAAAAGCAUUAAUAUUAAUAUUUUUAUCUAUAUUUCAGUCAAAGUUUAGACAUGGAAACUAAAAAUGAACCUAGAAUUACAUUCUCAACCGGACAAAGGUAGUAUACUCCGUAUGCUCUUGGAUCCCAGAAGUCCUAGAGAUACCCAUCAUCGUGUACUUACUAGCUACUCCUUGACUUAGAAUCGCCGCCAAACAGUCCGAACUACUGCCGCAACUAGCUCUACAAAGCUUGGCCGCCGUGGCACGUAUCUUCGUCACGACUCACGCCACAUUGUUCACAUGGCGUAUUGCCGUAUUUUGCCCCGCAUCGACGCGCCCCUUUUCUGACCUGACCUUACGAGGCACGAAUCCAUUGGCCAGCCGUAGCGUUUAAAGUACGUGCGCCGUGCAGAAAAGAGUGGACAAAAUGGCCAUGUGCUCCAAGGCCGUACCAACGCAUCAGCCCAAUGCAAGCGUGCAAGCUGUUGCCCUCCGGCGUGGUACGCCUGGGCGCCAUAUUUACUUUUGGUACGGAGUCCACGAUGAGUGUGCCGGCCGGCCACUUUACUGUGGCGUACGUGAUGCGGCCGCCGACGCGGGCCGUGCCGGAUCGGACGCCGGAGCAGAUAAGGUUUGGUGGUCAGAGGCUUCCAAACCUAGGCCUUGUUUACUUGGGAAUUUUUUUGCAAAAUUGCUACAGUAACUUUUUUGUUUGUAUGUGACAAAUAUUAUCCAAACAUAUAUUAACUAGGCUCAAAAGAUUUGUCUCGUAAAUUUCGACCAAACUGUAUAAUUAGUUUUUAUUUUCACCUAUAUUUAAUACUCCAUACAUGUGUCUAAAGAUUCGAUGUGACGGGGAAUUUUGAAAAAUUUUGCGUUUUGGAUUGGAAGUAAACAAGGCCCUACCCGGCGGCCUAUUUCUUCCGCACUUUUUUCCCGUGGUUGGUACGCCCUUGUCCCUGUCGUCGCUUGAUCACUCAAGUGACCGAAUCCUCGGUCUCAAGUGGUGCUUUUACUCGUGCUACACCGGAAGCAAACAGGCGGCACCGGGCGUUUAGUCGUGUGUUAGCUUUUAGGUUCUCGUGACAUAUGUCCAUCACCAAUGUCGUCUAUGCGUGUAUACGCCACGAACAAAAAAAUGACAUGAGUCAUGCAAUUGAUCGAUGUGCAUGGGGGGUCCAGCAGUACGUGUGAGAGCUAUAGCUGUACCCUGUACCAGACGCAUCGUCUCGGUCGUCCCGUGUACCUGCAUCUCAACUGCACGCUUGGAAAAGCUAGGUAGCAGUACCAGCAAUGCAGUCAACUGAUUCACAUAUACGUACACACGGUUCGCACUUUUCAGGGCUCGUAUAUAUUCUCUGUGCUGCGCUUUGAGUGUGUCCUUUGCGGUAUGCGCGAGAGAGUUUUGGAGGCUUGAAGCGCCCAUAAAUGUGCCGCGAAAACGAACAAGGGAGGGGGGGGGGGGGGGGGGAAGGAUUUGGCAAUAUACGCUACUGUAGAUGUUUGCCGUUUGGCCACUGCCACUCCAACGACUGUGCCAUGCAUCUCGGUCGGUGACAGCUGUUGUGUGCCAACUGCCAUGUCAACGGUUAUAAUUAAUGCGUUGGAUGCAUGUCUAGGCCUUGUUUAGUUCACCCCGAAAUUCAAAAAACUUUUCAAGAUUCCACGUCACAUCAAAUCUUGUACCACAUGCAUGAAGCACUAAAUAUAAAAGAAAACAAAAUCUAAUUACACAGUUUGUCUGUAAUUUACGAGAUGAAUCUUUUGAGCCUAGUUAGUUUAUGAUUGGACAAUAUUUUUCAAAAAAAAACGAAAAUGCUACAAUACCAAAAUCCGAAAAAAUUUCGGAACUAAACAAGGCCCUAGUAGUAAUAGGACUACUACGUUUUGUCCUCCUCCAAAGUACAACCAAUCGCCCGGCCGGGAUCUAUCAACAGUCAUGACGACGGAAUCGGAUCCGCGAUUUCUCUUCUAUACUCUACCAUGUUUUUAGUUUGAUUUUCGUCUGCACUUUUUCUCCGUCUCGUCCAAGAAGCUCGGGCUCCGGCCUCUCCGGCGUGUGGUUGCGUCGCGUCGCGGAGAUCUCGGGAGCUGCCAGGCCGGUGUGGUUGAGUAUGCCGUGGCGCCAGUGGGGAACUCCGACUGCGACGUCCCCCGGCCCCGGUCGUCGUCGCUGUCGUCGUGGCCAACAGUUGCGACGCCCAGCGCGGCAGCAGGAUAUGGCGGCUAUUACAACACGUUUUGCAAUUGCGCGCGUUACGUGGCGGCGGUUCUGAGAGUUUUAGAAGCAAGGGCUAGCUAGCUAGAUAUAUAUGUUCUCAGACAGCGUGUGGGUUUAGGCCCAAUAAGCUGUUGUUUUACAAUAUAUUAUAUGAAUCUGGUAUAUGACAUGUUCCUCCUCCAUAAAGUUCGUUAGCAGUUAUAUGUCUUACUUAUUUAUUCCUAGAGAGUGAAGAGUGUCAGAUUAACGUUCGAUUAUAGUUUAAGAUAAGAUUAGACAACAUGCACACGGCUGCGGAUGGAGACAAAGCUUAGGAGGUUUUUGGAAAACAAAAGCUUAGAAGGUGUUUAGAUGAGUCACUCAAAGAGUUGCCCAUUUGCUGCAUGCGCCGUUACCGACUUCUCUUCUGUUUCUGUGUAGUGUCGACUCCCCGAAAUGGGCCGGCCGGGAGCCCGCUCUCUAGUCGCAACAAGCGAAGGCAAUUCUCAAAUGAGAGCUCGUUCCCGUAGUUAUGAACCGAAUAAACUAAAGCAGCGGCCAAGUACUCUUGAGUUUUGACACGGUUCUACGGUCCAAACAUACAGGCCCGCAGCGCCGGGUCUACGGUCUACCCCGACCUUUAAUUUUACCCAGGGACUAAUAGUCGACAACGGAAUUAAUCAGGCUGGAAAAAAAAUUUGCAAACGGUUUUCUGACCGUGGCCCAGUUGCCCUGUACACAUACGAGAACGAGAUGAGGGCCCGGUCGGCGGUGCGAUCUCCAUCCAAGCGGAACCAGCGCACCCACGUCCGCGGCGUCGUCCUGGCGGGGCGCGGCAGCCGCGCGCUGCGGAUCGCAGCUUGCGUUGCACUCGAUCGGUGCGCGCCACCUGACGCGAAGACCCUCGCGUCCGCCGUCCGCGUUUGCUGUUCCAUUCCAUCCAAGGUAUAGUGGCCACAACGCGGAGGGCGUGAGUUGCCUUUGCCUGCCGGCCGGCCGGCCAUGGUGGCCAGCUUGACAAACGCAUGCAAUGGAACAAGCUGAAACCACAGUGCCGGAUCGGAGCCGCGAGAAAGAAACCCACCGUUGACCUCCGAUUCCCGCGCUGGAAUGGGUGCUCCUUCGUUCUGGAACGGAGAGGGCGACAUGAGCCGGGAGCCGCGACCACGGAAGAGGAUAGAGACGCGCAUCUGUAAUCUGUUUGUCUGUAGAGCGCGUCAGUAGUACUACGGUCUAGCUGAAGCCUGAACCCCCGGCCCGGGCUCCAUGUGGUUUGUCAAAUUGGCGGCACAUCUCCAACAGUUUGCCAAAUAAAGUUGCCAUCUUUAAAAAUUUAACAAAUUGCCAUCCAAGACCUCGACGCGCGUAUCUUUAAAAAUGAGGUUGGUAUUUUUAGCAAGUUGUCAUCCAAAGCCUCCACACGCGUAUCUUUACGCGCGCGUAUACACACGCGCAUCCUACUCGUCGGGUCCUGUCUUGCUGUUGCUUGUCAUACAUGGUGAUGGGACAUGAUGGUUGAUGGCGCCUGCUGCAGGACAUGAUGGCGCCGUGGCGUGAUGGACAUGAUACUACCGCAUGGUACUACUGAAUAAAAGAAGCAUAAACGGUAUAAAAAAAUCAUUGCUCAAGUGAAAACAAAUCACGGAUUACAUUUGAGUAUUUUAUUGUUUAAUUGGAUGAAAUAUAAAUAUGGCCUUGUUUAGUUCAUCCAAAAACCAAAAAACUUUUCAAAAUUCCCAUCACAUCAAAUCUUAUGUCAAAUAAAUGAAACAUUAAAUAUAGAUAAAAAUAAAAACUAAUUACACAGUUUACCUGUAAAUCACGAGUAAAAUCUUUUAAGCCUAGUUACUCCAUGAUUGGAUAAUAUUUAUCAAAUAAAAACGAAAGUGCUACAGUAUUAAAUCCAAAAACUUUUUGAAUCUAAACAGUGUCGAUCCAUCACAAUAAACUAUAACAUAUAAAAUCAAGUGUAUGAAACAAGAUCCGGACAUUUUAAAGAAAACAUGUUAUAUCGGCCUCCAAAAUAAUAGUGGACUUGUCCACAUGCCCCUUGUUGGGAUAUGUGAGGUAUUCAACUCCAAAAAUCUUAACAACUGCAACAAAAAACCUACGUAGGCUCUCAAGCGCCGUACUUUGGCAAGUUAAAAAUAAGAAACUAUUGGAGAGAGUCUCUUUUUAACUUGGCAUAUUCUUUUAGCAACCUGCCAAAACACAACAUUUGCCAAGUGAAUUUUGACAAACUGUUGGAGAUGCUGCGCUACUGCCCAUUUAAUCGGCCCCGAUAGAUCGUGUACUCUCGUCUGUUGUGAAAUAGAGUAUACUAUGACUUCUAAAAUUUAUAUUAAAAUAUAAUAUAUUCUACAUAGUGAUAAUGUUUCAAUUUUUAAAAGAUCUGUUAAAAAAACCAUAAUUUCAGAAAAAAAACUUUAUAGUUGAAAUAAUUUAUCGGUAUAUGCGUCAUUUGAGUGUUUCUUAAGUUGUCUUGCAAUUUUUAGAAUAUACAUUGUAUUAUAGAAUAAAUGGAGUAUUUAUUAUAAGCGAGCGCGCUUUUAGUUGAUGUUCACCGCCGGCGCACCUUCUAAAGAAGGAGGCGUUUUCCUUUUCAUCAUUUAUAAUCAGAAUAGAUCAGACGUCCACGAGGACGGGGGCGACGUGCACACGGUUUACUGUACGGUGGGCUGACGAUCGCUACGCUACGCGUUGUGGUGGCGUCAUGUCACUUGUGAUGGAUGUACUAGUACUACCAGUGCGACCAGCGUAAUAGCAUGUUGACAAUGACGAAUUUUUUUACUAGGGUUCCAUAGCUUAUUUGCAGAAUUAUUAUUUUAUUUUUCUAUAAAAAAUUAGUAAAUAAUAUUUUUUUAACUAUGAUUUUUGAAGUGGCUCGUCUCAUCGCCCGGUCGUUGUCGCCUCUCCUCUAUCUCCCGUUGUCAUGCAGUCGGUAAGAGCGCACGCGCACGCCGCUGUGUCCCAAAGCCAUGCAUCAACGUACAGUUAGCUUCAUUGCAGAUCGCUCCUAUUUGUCGAUUAAAAAUUAAGCGCACACCGCAUACUAGCUCAAUUCAAUCAGACAAUAAAGGCCUUGUUUAGUUCUAGAAAAUUUUGAAAAAAAUUAAAUUUUUUAUCACAUCAAAUCUUUCGACGCAUACAUAAAAUAUUAAAUAUAUAUAAAAAUAAUAAUUAAUUACACAGUUUGCCCGUAAUUUAAGAGAUUCGUUUUUUAGUCUAUUUAAUAUAUAGUUGGAUAAUAUUUGUUAAAUAAAAACGAAAAUGAUACCGUUUCUAUCUAUUUUGAAAAAAAUUUUAAACUAAACAUGGGCCCCGGACUACCGACAUCGGGCCAAGUACGAAGUCCACCACGUCCUGUCCGCAUCCUAGACCACGUAGCCCAGUUUUUUUUUUCUUUUUGAGCACUUUUGAGCCCAGCUUCCAGCCUAUGAAAGUAUGAAUAGACCCAGCGCUCAAUGGGCCGUCGGGACGUUUUGCACCUCGCCGCCAGUUUUAGAAGGGAAAAAAUAUACUUUAGGUCCUUCAACUUUCGCGAAAGUCUGAUUUUCAUCCCUGAACUCUAAAACCGGACAAAAUACAUCCCUCAACUUUUAAACCGUGCACAUUACAUCCUUGACCUGGUUUUGAAAGCGGUUUUAUCUUUAUCUUUUUAUUUAAUUUAGCUGAUUUUUUUUGAAAAAUCACAGUAAAUCACAUAAAAAUUAUAAAAUAGAAAACUCAAUUUUGUUGGACUUCAGAUCAGUAGAUCCACACAUUGAAUAUAUAAUAUAGUAUGUUCUAGUACAAAUUUUUUUGAUGCAUCUUUAGAUCUAUGUUUUUCUGUAAUUAAUUAGACUAAUUAUAGCUACAUUUUCUAUGGUCUAAUUGUGAUGAAAUUUAUGCGGCGAGCUAAUUAUUCUAUGUUUGAGUUAUAGUAAAAAUUUUAUACUCAUUGAAUCAUGUAUUACUUAGUUAUAGAUUUAUUUAGGUUUAUGCUUGUUAAAUUAUAAUAAAUCUAUAACUAAGUUAUACAUGAUCUAAUGAGUAAGAAUUUUUUUACCAUAGUUUAAACAUAUAAUAAUUAGUCUAAAAUAAAAAAUUCACCACAAUUGGACCAUACAAACUAUAGCUAUUAUUCUAAUUAAUUAUAAAAAAAUAGUUCUAAAGCUACAAUAAAAAUUUUGUACUAAAGCAUACUAUAUUAUAUGUUCACUAUGUAGAUCUACUUAUCUGGAGUCCAACAAAAUCAGAUUGACUAUUUUAUGAAUUUUAUGUGAUUUACUAUAAUUUUACAAAUAUUCAGCCAAAAUAAAUAAAAAUGAAAAAGACAAAACUGCCUUCAAAACCACUCAUAACCAUGUCAGGGACGUAAUAUGCAUGGUUUCAAAAAAUAAGGGAUGUAUUUUACCCGGUUUUGAAGUUUAGGGAUGAAAAAUAGACUUUUGCAAAAGUUGAGGGACGUAAAGUGGACUUCUUCCUUUUAGAAGACUCGGAUCCAACCCGGCCUGCAGACCACAAUGCAAACGUGAUAUAGGUGGGCCUCCAACAAGCGCAGCAUUUCCUCACAUCAAGACACCGGCCCGUAGCCCCAUACACAUCAGUUACAGGUCGGGAAGCGCCUCCCCGCCGGCCGCCGGCCACCGGCUCGCUGCCCGCCCCCUGCCGCCGCCUGCCCGCCUCGCCGAGCGGCAGCCACGCGCGCGGCUCUGCGUGGCCGCGCUCCGCCAGUCCGCUGGCCGCCCGCCAUCCACGAACACCACCUACAAGGGUCGCCCCAAAUCCUUACGCCAGAACCGGCGCUGACCGGAGUGCCCCGCCCCGGUAAAAAAAAACCCUACUCCAAGACAGCGUCGUGAAGUCACCGACGUCAACUCCGAUGGCGUCCUUCCCGCCGCCGCCGCACACGCUACCUCCUACCCCGACAGCACCCUACCCGGCAACACCUCCGCCUCUGCACCACCACCACCACCAGCAGCAGCAGGGGCCCGCUCCACCGGGGGCGGCGACGCUUCUGGUGAGGCAUCUCCCAGAGGCGAUCACGCAGGAGAUGCUAUCCCGCCUCUUCUCCCACUACGGCGCCACAUCCGUCCGCCCCUGUUCCGGUGGAAAGUACUUCUCUCAUCUUGUCGCUUGCUUAAUUAUGCUUCGAUUGGCGCUCCACAUGUUGAAUUAGUUACAGUAGCGCGUGGUUGUAUCUAGUAUAAGGUGAUGCUGGAAUGUCCUAGUUGUCCUAGAUAUGUCUCCUUUAUAUUUGGUUAAGUAUGUAUACCGAGCUGUCUCCUAUGUUAUUUGGUUGCUAAAAACAUUUUGUUGGUCUGUUGUUGCUGGCUGAGGAAUAUUAUGUUUGUUUAGUUUCCAAAACCAUUUUUUUGGGUCUGUUGCAGGUUGAGGAAUUGUGCAUUUGUAGAUUUUAGGGAUGAGGCGGCAGCCAAUCACGCACAUUCGCUUUUGAACAGGUUUGCUUCAUCAAUCACACGAUCUGUUAGGUUACUUAGACUCUCUUUCUUAGCUGCAUGAACUAACCAUGCCUUCUCAUUUCAAAUGCCAAACUGUGCUCAUCUCAACUCGUAUGUCAAGCAUUGCCUUGUUCGCUAAGGGAUGGCUUUGCAGGUUGAGGUUUCUGGGGAAAGUGUUGACUGUCGAGCGAGCUAACCGUCCAAAUGCAAAUGAUUCUCACCUGAAGCAUCAGGACCAAUUAGUGCAUGGGGUGUCCCAGGUACCAAGUAUUAGUUCCCAAAAUCAGAAGGAUCACACAUCGACUGCUGAACCAAUUGCCCCCAAGCUUGGUGUGGACUAUCCAUUCCCUCCGCACCUUGAGUAUGUUAUUAGUUCACUGCAUCAUUAUUUCACUUCAUUAUCUUAGCUCUCGUAAAUACAUUCUGUCCUGCAAUGUCUUAUUACUGUUCUCAACAGACAUUCAUUAGUAGUUAAGAGAUUGACUUGCCAUCUGCUACUGAGAAUUUAGAUUCCUGCAAAAUUUAAUACAAAAGCUUGCCCGCAUAUUUCUACAUAUAAUUCUUUUUGCUAAUCAUGAAUCUCUCUCCCUCUCUCCAGAAUUCUUGGGUUGUUGAGAUUUAUGGGUUGAGUUAUCUAUGUGAGAUUAUGAACUAGUUGAAUUUAUUUGAAACAAUAUUCCUCAGUCUAAAAAGGCCUAUGUGCUAUCAUGCAAAGUAUAUAUGAUCCAUUCACAUUUACCAUUUUUCUGGAAAGUAACCAAAAUCAAACUAGCACCAAUUCUUUGCUACUACAUGCUGACUUAGUUGAUUCACUUCUAUUACUAUGUCGCAAAGUUUUGCAAUUAGGCACCUGUUGACUGCCAUUCUAUGCUGAAGCCUUUUCAACUGUUGGCAAUCCUAAUACGCGUCACUUUCUUGAGCUUGAUUUGAGUGCCCUAUAAUUUUCUAGGUAUGCAUAUCCACCACCAGAUGGAAACAUAUUGACAAAUAUUGUCAAUGCCCUGAUUGCCGUCCCUCGAUUCUAUAAUCAGGUUUAUUAGGAUUUCCACCCUAUGCACCCAUUGUUACAACUUGCAAGGCAUGCCUCUGCAUAUUUUUUUCGUAUUCUGCGUGUGUAGAUGCAUUUUGAUCAAAUCAUUUUUCUUCAAACAGGUCCUGCAUUUAAUGAACAAGAUGAACCUUCCUGCUCCAUUUCGGAUGGCAUUGCCUACUCCACCCCUACCAUCGCAACUGCCUGUUACCCCUCAUCCACAGCCACUACCGCAAUCUGCUACCACCGGGGAGCUUCAUACGGCUGAUUUGUCUAGUGAUGAGUCUGAGUUAGAAUCAUCUGAUGUACUUGCUACUUCUGUGUUUCCAGUUUAACCUUGUAGUGUCUUUAUUGAGUCAUUCGUGCACGUUUUAUCUAUCGCAGGAAGAUAUUGAUAAACGGAAAAGCAAACGUGCAAAGCAUGAAGCAAUUGUUGGUCCGGCAGUUGAUAAAAAUGUUGCUCAUGAAGCAGUGGGGGUGAAACCUGCUGCAUUGGUUUCUAAUGAGCUUCAAGUGAUCAAAAAGAAAAACCCAGUACUUCAGGUUAACUACUCUUUGUUUGUUGAUGAUUACUCAUUGACUGAAAAGUCAAUUGUUUUAUCUUUUUUGCUGACGCAAUGGUUCUCUUCAGAUAAAAAUUGCCCCUAAGCCUAUGCAGAAGGAACCACCUGUCCCAAGUAUAACUGAAAAUGAACCGGAUUCAACUCAUGAACAACUUCAAGAGAAACAUUUUGUCACACCCCAGGAAAUGUUGAGAGAGAAAUUACCACCAGAGGAGAUUUUAUCCCUUCCUAUGUUCAAGGUACACAUUCCUUGUGUUGUACUACCAUGUCAUUUGCACAGAUAUUUAUAGGGUGUUUGGUAUGAGGAAUGAGUUAGUUCAUCAUCUUUCUUUUUUGCUUGGUUUGUGGAAUGGAAAUGAUAGAUCCAUCAUCAUCUCAUUCAUCACAAGCUAAUAAUUAGUACUAGUAUGGGGAAUGGAGUCAUUCCACCAAAUUUGAGGAAUGGACUCAUGAUGCACCACCUCAUCUAGAAUGGAGUGCUUCCUCAAACCAAGCAUCCUAUUAAUGGACAAUGCUGGAACAUCUGUAUUUGUGAAUUAAGUGAUUAUUAUGAAUGUUCAUCAGUUGGUGAGUUGUUUCCUUCCCCUUGAUCUUGAUGAUGGUAGCCUGAAAUUUCGAAGAAUGAAGAAUGUUGAUACGUAAAGCAACUUCUAUAUUUCCUUAGAUUGUAAGUUGUUUGCUGACCGCUGAAUCAACUUCAAAUAUUAUGUUCUUUUGCAGAAUUACACUCCAGGAAAUCCUGCCAGUGUUUUGUACAUUAAGAACUUGGCAAAGGAUGUCACUCAUGAUGACUUCUAUUAUGUCUUUGGUAAGGCUGUCAGAGGCCAACUGUUUUUCAGGACGUUGCUUCAUUAUUUGUCCCAGAUGAAAAAAAUUAGGGAUCUAAUAGUUACUUUUAAAUGGUUUGCACCUGUAACGAUUAGCUGCUAAGGUUAAUAUAUUCCAACUUCGCAACUCAGACCCAGUAGGAACCCAAGCAAUCUUGUUUGUUGAGUGUAGGCAUACCUUAAAUUUAUGACUGAGAUGUAUGUAUUGCUGAGGGUGAUUAAGAUGUGCUAUGAGCUUGUGCAGAUAGGCCAGGUCAAAUAUCUGUUACGUGUUACCUAGGAAUCAAUGACCAUGCUUUUUUGCUCUUUUGGCUUAGUAAAUGGUUUUUGAUCAAUUGCUGCUAUGAAUGAAAGAGCUUGCUGCAAGCAUGCACCAUCAUCAGAACUAUGGUUUAAUUCAGUCAACAUGUCAUGUUAACUGCAUUUGUGCUUAAGGUUCUAGGUCCUAGCCGAAACAUCAUGAGUAACAAAGAACUAGACGAUGCUGCAUUUUCUUAACCUAUAUUGUUUUGUUGCGUAUCCUGUAUUUGCAUCGGUGUUAAUAAUUUUUUUUCCAAAAGAGGAGUAUCAGAGAAAGUUUUCUUCAUUCACUGCAGUGUUUUCUCAAUUUGUCACUAAGGUAUCUUUUUAACUUCUCUCUUCAGGUUCUGUAUUCGAAAGCAUGGACAGUGCAAGGCUGGGUCUAAGUAUAAAGUUAAUGCAGGUAUAUUAUUGACUUGGUUAUCCCAAAAAAAACUUGUUUUCACAAAAAUCUACAAGCUACUUUUCAUAGUGAAAAUUAUGUGGAAAGCUGCUGUCAUUGUUUACUGUCAAAGUUCUGCUUUUUGCUGCCACUGUGCUCCUCAUUGUCUGUUUUUUCUUUCAAAUUUUUAAUCCUGUUGCAGGAAGGACGGAUGCGUGGUCAAGCCUUUGUCACAUUUCCCACGGUUGAACUUGCUCAACGUGCCCUGGUUAGUGAUUUUGUUAUUGACAUGAUGUCUUGUUUGUAAUGUUGCACAGUAUGAGCUCAUUUCUAAUUUAUCUAAUUUUGGGACUAUGGCUAUGUUUGGAUGCCGCGCCAAAAGUUUGGCGAUCAAAUCGCUCGCCACAGUUUCGGCGAGGUUUGGUGUAAAAAAUGACUUGCAUAGCAUUGGCAAGUUGCGGCAGCGCCUUAACUCUGGCGACAAACCAAACACUUUCAAAACAGCGGCGUCAGAGUUGUGGCAGACGGUGUCAUGGUUUGGUAACAAACCAAACACGCUCUACAACCUGCGUGCAUUAGACAGCUAGAUGUGGCAAAAGGCCAAAAAUAAAAUCAAUAGAUUGCAUGAUUUGUCUUAAGACCACGCAUCAUCUUCCUUUCCACCCAAUCAGUAUUCUAUAUAAUCCUAGCUGUUUACAUGAUGUUAUCGGGUCCAUGAGAACCAUGAGUGCUUAAAAAUAUCUCAUUUGUGGUUUUGCAGAAUCUAGCGCAUGGCUACGUGUUCAAAGGAAAACCAAUGAUCAUACAUUUCGGAAGAAAUCCUGCUGCUAACAAAGCUUCCUAAAACAUGACACAUUUUUAUUUCCAGAUUUUGACAGAUAUCAGAAGUUGGUAGGAACUGGAAAGUGACAAUCAGAGGUUGAGGGUAUCUGUUGACUGUUGUUAGUGCAACCUGUUUGACAUUACACAUUAGGCUGAUUGGUUCCUUCCAUGGUGUAAUUUUUGUUGAAAAAGAACAUUGUACAUUUCAAUUUGUUAUAUUGUAAAAAUUACUCGGUGAAAACGGACAUGGAGGUUUUAAGCUGCAGAUCGAGCUAUCACUCUAUAUUUUUGUUUAAAGGUCAAUGACUGCUAGCAGCCUACCGUCACAGAGAAUCAAGGAUGUGUUUGGUUCGAUGGCUAAUUUCUAGCCUGGCUAGAGCCUUAGCCUGUUUCCAUCGAGCCAGUCCAUGGUUGUUUGGUUAUAUGUACUAUCUAAGUCUGGCUAGCCUCAGGAUGUGUUUGGUUGCCUGGUUUGUUUUGAUACAAUCACCUUUUGAUGAACUGGUAAGGUUACCUCUUUACAAGGCAAGGGAUAUCUAGCACUAUCACAAUAAAUUAGCAAAAAAAUACUAGAAACAAUUUAUACUAAAAUUUGAACAUAAAUUAGCAACUGAUUUAGUUUGUUACUGCUGAACACAAAUCUGAACAAAUGAAUAAGAAUGCAGCUUGUUCAGUCGGUUUCAAGAAAGCUUAUGACUGAAACAACGAAUGAUUCUUUUAAGAACUACUCCAGACCAUCAGACCAAUUUCUCUCAAAAAGAUUAGUAUAUAGGCAACAUGAAUACAAAUUUGUUUUCUCAAUAAUACGAGUGCUUCUUGGUUGACUCUGCUCAUUAACUUACAAAAUAGCAGCCUACAUCAAAUGUUUUAUGAUUUCAUCUGUGCAUGCUCUACCUCAAUCAAAUGUUCAGAUUAUCAAAUGUUUUGCAUUACAGUGUAGAAUUGAUGGUCUUUUGCCUGUUGCUGAACUUGAGUGUCUCUGUCUUACCUCCUGUCCAUAUCAACUGACAAAAGGAGCUGCUCCCUCCUGUCCAGAUCAGAGACGAAGGCCCCGACAUAGGCUUAUCCUAGAGCACCUUGUAGGCUCUGAAGUCCUCGACCAGCAACUCUAGUGAACCCCACUGCUUCUCCCUGAGCAGCUGCAGGGUCAGCGCAGUUCCCGUCUUCUUCUCCCACUGGAAUUCUGGCUGCAGCAGCGCCCUCCUGUAGCCCUCGAAGGCCAGCUGCUCGGUCUGUUGUUCGCCGCAGAGGCCCCGAGUGAAGCAGAGGACCUGAAGUAGUGGAGCACGAAGGACCGCUUGACCAUGCAAGGUGAGGCAUGGGAUUUCGCCGGCGUUCUCCGCGACGGAUGGAGAGCCAGAAUCGGGUGCUAAUCUGAGUUGGAGCACGGGACCUCCACGCGAGUAGGAGGAGCAGGUGACCUCCGGUGACAGGCAGCGCGGGGCAUAUGGGGCCGUUGAGAUGGGACGAGCAGCGUCGAUGGCAUGCAAAGGCGGAGCCGUAGGACAAGCAGCGUCGGGGCAUGGCAUGCGCGGCGGCGGAAGAAGGUGAACGCGACAGUUAGGGAGGUGACGAGAAGUUUGGACGGAGCUUAGCCAAGCCUGGCCAGCGAAAAACGGAGGCACAUCUCGUUUUCCCAGGGCCAGGCUAAGGCCUCCAAAAUGGCUUAGCUGGGCCUGGCUUCAAGCUAUUUACAGACAACCAAACAACUAGAAGUUGACUAUCUAGAGUCUGGUUGGGAUUUAGCCACCCAACCAAACAUACCCCAAGUCUCUGGCGUCCCUGAACUGGGAGAUGCAUGCAUGGUGGCUGGAGGAGCCAGUGACGCAGCGCCCUGUAUGCAGUGGCUCCAUCCAUCUCCAGUAAGAGGGGCACGUUGUCUAGAAUUCAAAAAUUGUUUUUAAAUUCAACGAAGUUUAGGGGAUAAAUGGGACUUCACAUUUUAAUAUAGAAGAUAUGUUUUAGCUCAUAUGACACGGUUAAAAUGAGGGAGGCACGAUUUUAACAUCUAACAUGUAGAGCUCCUGUGAUUGCCCUAUCUUGUACUCCAUCUGUCCCAAAUUGUAAGUCAUUUCAAGAAUUUUGGAGAGUCAAAACAUUUUUACGUCUAACCAAAAUUAUAUAGAGAAAUACUAAAAAUUGUAACGUAAAGUGAGUAUACUCUGAAAAUAUAAUUAAGAAAGAAUUUAAUGAUACUUAGUUGGUAUUAUAAUAAUAAUUAUUUUAUCAUAUAAAUUUGAUCAAACUUAGAAAAGUUUGACUCUAUGGAGAGAGUAUAUGCGUUUCCGCGCAUGAUUGUUGCUGAUUUGAACAACCUCGGCUGCCUCUGUGAGGACGAGUACAUGUCAUCGAAAGUAGCGCUGUUUGAGUUGUGUACAAACAAAUUUAAAUAAUCUUAUAUUUGCGAGGAGUUCAAAUAGAUGUCAUUCUGAAAAAUAAAUUAUCUAUAAAAAAAGCUUCUUUAUCUCAUGCACAAUAUCUUUCUUUUUUCGUUCUCUAUUCUAAACAGGUGACCUCACGUGUGAGUGUGAUCAAUACGUGUCACUUCCUCUCUCUCUCUCACUCUCUGCGCAAGUGUGCCCCACCUCCGCAUCCUUGACCAAAAGAUUAACAUUUCUGCCACGAGUCCCCGCGGAGCUACGCGCACCACGCGCGCCUCCCGAUCCCCACGGCCGCCGCGUGACAUGUGAGCCCCACAACCGUUUCUUAUUCUUAUCCAGAAUAUAUUAUCCAUUCCCGAAUUUCUUACAGCCACCGAGGAAGAAAAUUCCAGAGUCUACAGUCCACGUGGCGAGCAAAAGAAGACCGUGAGGCGCAUCCGACGACCGUCCGUAAUUCUCGUUAGGGUUUGAGACAUAAUUAUCUGGAAGAUUAAAAAUUAGCUUAAAUUGAAAGAAAAGACGCGGCGAUUUUUCGCUCCGGUAAUCCGGUUUGCCUUUAUCCGUGGGCCUCCUUUUUAAAAGGAGCUACUUUUCUUCGCCGCUUCCGCAAUCUUCCAUUCCUCCUCUCUUCUCUCUUGCGCCGUGUUCCCUCUCCCUCUCCUCGCGAGCUCUUCUUCAGCCCUUCUUCGAGCGCGGUUUGGCGAUGGCGGCAGCGCAGGCGGUCGCGAAGGGGAGCGUGGUUGCGCCGUGCGGCAAUCGAGCGGCGCCGGGCCUCCUUGGCAGGCGGAGGGGUGCCGUGGCGGCGCGGAUGGCGCCGUCGGCGGUGCGGAUCGGGGCCUCAUGGAGGAAGACCGCGUUUACAGGCGGGAGGCUAGCCUUGGGGUUGGGGACGAGGAGAUCCAGGCCCGCGUCCCGGAGUUCUUUCGCGUCGCCGGCGCAGGUGAAUAUAGAUUCAUGCGUUCCUUUCAAGUUUUUUUUUCUUCUCUAUUUUCGUAUAAGUUCAUUCACGCGUAUCAUAUUUUUUUCUCGAAGUUUUUGCGAUUAUUUUUACUUUUAUACGUUCCUAAAAUCAUAUCUAGUUUUCUUUUCUUUUCUUUUGCUUGGUCUACUCUUAGAAGUUUCUAGUCCGUUUGACCAUCCAAAAAUAAAAUCUUUGAUUCCCUAAGUUUAUAUAGGAAUAUAAAAGUGAAACGUAAAGAGACUAAUAUGAUCUGAUCUUUGUUUGUCCGGUUACUCAGAUGAACAUGAACCUUGCGAUUGGGAAAUCGAUGAGGUGGUGGGAGAAGGGGUUGCAGCCCAACAUGCGUGAGAUCGAGUCCGCCCAAGACCUUGUCGAUUCCUUGACCAACGCCGGCGACAAGCUCGUCAUCGUCGACUUCUUCUCCCCUGGCUGCGGCGGCUGCCGUGCUCUUCACCCGAAGGUGAGUGGCAAAAAAGGAUACCGAAUUCACUCUUGCAUGAUGUUCUUCAUAUAUCCGAGAACUUUUGAGAGGAUUGUGGGUUUUCUGAUGAAUCUAUCUCUUGCAGAUUUGUCAAUUUGCGGAGCAGAACCCAGAUGUGCUGUUCUUGCAAGUGAACUACGAGGAGCACAAGUCUAUGUGCUACAGUCUUCAUGUCCAUGUCCUACCCUUCUUCAGAUUCUACAGGGGAGCACAGGGACGGCUCUGCAGCUUCAGUUGUACAAACGCAACCGUAAGUUCCUGAUCCGAUCAGCUGGUCACGUUUCUUCUUUUCAUAUGAUUUUGUUACUAUGUCCUGAAUAACAUGCAACAUAGCGCCAACAAUCUUUCUUCAACACUAUAGAAUUACGGUUACCCUCUUGGGUCUAAAUGUACAGACCCAAAUGUUAAUUUUUUUCGGAUACUUUGCGAAUAUAACAAACAAAGAAUGGCAUUUUAAGUUGAAUUUGACAGGCAAAGGAUGGCCUUUUAAGUUUCCCCUAGCAGUUCAUGCAACAUUGCAACCUUUACUGAUCGGAUAGAAACCUUACUCCCUUGCGAACCCAGCUGGAGGUCGCCAUAUGUGAUUGAUUUCUUGGCUAUUAUUAUAAAAUUUGUUAGCUAUACUUAGGAUCGUUGUUGGCUGUGGUCACCGAUCAGGACUGAUGGGACCGUUAUUUCCAUAUGCAGAUUAAGAAGUUCAAGGAUGCACUUGCGAAGCACAAGCCAGAUAGAUGUAGCCUUGGCCCAACCAGGGGGCUAGAGGAAUCGGAGUUUUUAGCCUUGGCAGCAAACAAGGACCUGCAGUUCACCUACACCAAGGAGCCAGAACUGAUUCCCAGGGGAGAUGCUCCUGGGGAGGUCAUUGCUCCCGAGCCUGCAAAGCUUCCUGCGGCCACAAAGCCUUUGGUCAGGCUGGGGUCCGAAGAAAGGUCCUUGGUCUCAUCAGGAAGAUGAGAUGUAUAAUUGAUUGAUUAUCAAGGAUGAUCAGAUGCUUCCAUUCUGUACAGUUCCGUGGUUCUUGAUGUGUGUAAAGGUUGUAGCUUCUCAUGGUAGCAGAGUGCAGGCUAAGAUUUUUUACAUGUGAAGCCUGCCCUGUCGUCCGGUAGUUUAGCUCGGUUGUACUCCAUUACCAGUAGCAAUGAGCGUGUUGUGGAGCUGCCUUAAGGAAAUCGCAUGGUUGUUGCAUGGAUGAAUGAAUUCGUCUGCAUGCUAUUUCGUCGAAUUCUAUAGAUCAUGUGGAUGAUGAGUUGCUCUUGUUUAAUUUCUCCUCCAGCCUCAGGAUAUUGUAUGGGUGUCUGUUGCAAAUCUGAAUAAUCAAAUCAUGCUUUUUGUUUGUGCCAGACAUUGUGGUGCUUGGAGAUUAUUGUUGUGAUAAUGUUUUGAGUUUUUUAUGACUAGUUUCCUGCCUUGGCCUUUUCUUUCGGGUCCAGGAAACGGGUGAUGAAGAAACUGGUGGAGAUGGCUUAAUUAGUAAUGGUAAACUAGGAAGGUCGAAUUUUUGUGAACGAUAGGUUUGGAUCUGUGGUUUCUCUUUCUAUAAAGCUAGAUAAAGGUGGUCCAGUCUUCUUUUGAACUGGAUAAGAUAACUCAUCAACAACUACAAUCAGUUUCUUCCCCGAGCAGACAGGUGUGCGUGCGCCACCACCACACCCUAUCCUCCAUGAGCUGGGAGGGGUGUGCCGACGCUGCUCUGUGCUCUUCACCGAUGUUUACGACAAUGAUUGUUAAAAAGUGAUGAAUUUAGAUAUGUUUGAUCAAACUGUUUAAUUUCAGUGCAUUGGCAUGUGCAAUAAUGUUUAAUUCUGAUUUUGAUUGAGGCAAUUGAGUUGUGCAAUGAUGAAAUACUAUUUUUGACUGAGGCAAUUGGAUUGUUCAAUGAUGAACUACAUCUUUUAGUAAUUAGUGAUGUCUCCAGAUUGUAAAUGUUUCUGAGCUCAAAUCCAUUGCCUAUGAUGUCUUUCUGAUUUGCAAUUGCUAACUAUGAUGUUUUUUGAUUAACAAUUGCUAAUUAUACAAACAAGAGUGGCGCAAGAACUCAGAGGAACAUGGCAUGAUCCAGCUCCAGCUCCAAUCAUGCAGCAUUGAAGCAUUCAAAGAAUGGUCUUGGCCAUGCGGUGCAUAAUGUCUUAUCAAUCAGAUCUGGAGCACAAAAAUAGGAUAUCUUGCAUCAGAACAUCAGGGUAUGGAUGGAGGUUUGGAAUGGGGACUUCGGUUUCCAUCUCCCCUACUCCACUUCCUUUGGAGUAGAAGUACGCUCUGGUCGUCACGACUCACGACAGGUGUUCUCUUGGCCUUGUUUAGUUUCUAAAAUUUUUUAAGAUUUCCCGUCACAUCGAAUCUUGCGGCACAUGCAUGAAGCAUUAAAUAUAAACAAAAACAAAAACUAAUUACGCAGUUUAUCUGUAAAUUACGAGACAAAUCUUUUGAUCCUAAUUAGUCUAUGAUUGGAUAAUAUUUGCCACAAACAAACGAAAGUGCUACAGUAGCGAAAUCCAAAAUUUUUCUCAAACUAAACAAGGCUAGUUCAGUUCUGGAGGCUUCGGCUUGUCUCGUCGGAAAUAUCUGCACGGUGAGGCCGCGACGUGGCGCGCUGCGGAAUGCCAAUUCUGAUCCACUCAAAUUGGCGCCAUCCGUUGUUAUCCAAAAACGUACGGAGUAUUGUGCAUAGAGAUGGAGCCACCGUAUUUACACCCUCCGAGGAAUAGAACAGCGAUAGUUUUAGGCCUUGUUUAGUUCCCAAAAAAUUUUGCAAAAUUUUUCAGAUUCCCCGUCACAUCGAAUCUUUAGACGCAUGCAUGGAGUAUUAAAUAUAGAUGAAAAUAAAAACUAAUUGCACAGUUUGGUCGAAAUUGACGAGACGAAUCUUUUGAGCCUAGUUAGUCCAUGAUUGGACAAUUUUUGUCAAAUACAAACGAAAGUGCUACAGUGUCGAUUUUGUAAAAUUUUUUGGAACUAAACAAGGCCUUAUUAAAAAAAUAGAAAAGGUCCAGAAAUUGACAGGUAAAGUAUCCAUCGUUGUCGAGCUUUUACAAAAAGCAGUGAUUCACAUGCACCAAAUAUGCUCGUAAUGUAAAAUGUUUAAAUGCCCUAUAAAGCCCUUUUGUGCGGUGUAGGGUGAGAGCUGUCUUUGUCGCUCAAAUCAUAAGCAAAUAUUGUAUAUGGAGAAAAAAGAUGUUAUAUAAUAUAAUAUAACGCAAGUAUAUAUGAGGUGAAGAAAGGUUAAUUUUGAAAAUGGUGCGAAUUUGUUCCAACCAAAACAUACUAAAUAAUGCUAAUAUUUUUGAAACUUAGCAUAGUGCCAGGAUUGGAUGAUAAGGGCCAAGGUGACAAAAGAGAAUAAUCAUAAAAAGUCUAUUAGAUAUGGUCCACCACCUAGCUGUUUUAGAGAUCGAUGACAAAAUUUACACUUAGCUACUUGUAUCUGUAAUAUAAUAACAAUAUUAUAAAAUUCGUUUUCAUUAAAACACAUUUCUCUAAUAUUAUACAUCUAAGGUGUUGAAUAGAUCAGUAGGUGAAGUAUACAAGAACUUCAGAUGAGACAAAUUUUGAAACAACUUUUAAGGUCGAUUUUCCCUCUUCACUAUAGUUGAACAAAAGAUGAAAAAAAAAGGAAACAGAGUACGCGAAAUUUAUAAUGUCAUCAGUCCAAUUAUCCCUUUAAAGAACCAUCACGUGCAUCUGUGCAUGUGGUUUUAUACUCUAUUGUUUGAUUCCGUACCAGAUGGAGAUCCGGUACCUAGCUAGAGACACAAUCCAACAAUAGAAAGAUCACACAUCUACAGAGGUAGUGUUAACCGCUCUCUUGCAUGCACGCUUAACACAUCGUUUCUAGCUAGCGUACAUAUUGAGCCAUAGCGUAGUUCUGCCCUUAUUCUAGUUAUUCCAAAGCAUUCUAGUCAAAUAGCAAAACACAAAGACGAUUUUGAUUCACCAAGAAAGAAAUAGUAUCGUCACAAGUUUGGAUUUAGGAUCGGAUCCUGAGAGAAACGACUGCACGGGCGCGGGACGGAGAUGAGCACCGGCGCCCAUGCAAAGCUGCACUGCAGCCAAAGUUGGACGCGCGGCCUCGUGGAAUCCUUGUGUGGAAACCAAACCAAGAUUCGAACAACGGCGUCGAUGCGCGUGCAUACGCAUCCGCAGCGCAGAGCAGGAGACGCCGGAGGAGGAGCGCGACGAAAACAGUGUUCGACAGUGGCGCCGCGGCCCCUGUCAACGGUCGCGUUCCGGCGCGUUCGCCUGUCCUGUUCGGGGUUCGGUCCCGCUCCCAGUCAGUCCCACGCUGUACGGGGCGUGGAGCACCCACACACUUGGCGCGGGCGGACUGGGCGGCGGGACGGGUGUCUCUCGCGUGGAAAGUGGAAUCCCCUCGUGAACGUUCCAGAGCCGAGCCGAGCGGGGGUUUGUGUGGUCGUGCACCGUGGUGCCCCUGCGUGCCACACCUUUGCCGCAUGUGUGCCUCGUGACUCCUCACCUGCGGCUGCAGUCUGACGUGCUACGCUCCUCUGGUUCUGCGUGCUGGGAUGCUAGCACGGGCGCACAUCGCUCUCCAGCUAGGAUUUUUUUUUGCUUGUCCGGCUGUCCCAUCCAUCUGUUACGGGCAAACUAGUACGUAGUAACGUAGUAUACGGAGUACUCGUACGGACCAUAAUUUGCUUAUCGAAAACUAUUAUUAAAAGUACUAUUUACUGAAUUUUUAUAAAAGAGCACUGCUAAAUGAUAAAUAAGCUCGAACGAACAUGCUUAAACAGCCGCUGAGGGACGGGGAGGACCGGACGAAUUUGUGGUGGCUCGUCGAUUCUCUGGAAUCCUGGCCGGCCGCAUAACAUUGCUUUCCUUCGCUCCACUAAAAUACUGUCAUUAUUAACCGUGGAACUCUAAAAAAAAUACUGCUUUUGGAAUAGUCCGCUGCUACCCUUAAAGGUUGUGUAGUAUUUUUUUUAAGGUUGUAGUAUUUAUAUUUAUCAGUACAAGUGGGCGCGUUUGGUUCUCUCGGCAGACUUCGCCUCGGUGUUUUUGGUUUGGAUAUUAAAGUUUAACAUAUAUUAUAGCAUUUCAUUUUAUUUGGCAGUUAGUAUAUAAUCACAGACUAAUUAGAUUUAAAAAUUAGUCUUUCAAAUUAUUUUUUAGUUGUAUUUUUAGUUUUAUAAAUAGUCUAUAUUUAGUACUUUAUAUAUAUGUCCAAAUAUUUUAUGUAACGGACGAUAAAUUUUUACAUGACAAGACCUUGCUCCGAUAAAAGUUGAUAUACAACUAGUACUUGGUUUCUUGGUGAGUUUGGCCUUGAUGCCUUGUUUAGUUUAAUCCAAAAGCCAAAAUUUUUUCAAGAUUUCUCGUCACAUCAAAUCUUAUAACACAUUAAAUAUAGUCAAAAAUAAAAACUAAUUAUACAAUUUACCUGUAAAUCGUGGGAUAAAUCUUUUAACUUGUAAAUCGUGAGAUAAAUCUUUUGAACAUAGUUAGUUCAUAAUUAAACAAUAAUUAUCAAAUAAAAACAAAAAUACUACAUUGCCUAAACCAAAAAAAUUUGAAAACUACAAAGGCCUGAGUUUGUGCCGGCAAGAGUUAUGCUGCUUGUGGGGGAGAGCGAUUGGCUCACCCACGCUGGCAAAGGAUUCACCUUGCUAAGCGAGAUAAGGUGGGCGAAACUGAUGAAGUAACCAAACGCGGCCAGUUAGACCACCAAAUUUCACCGGAUAAUUUCAUGGUGAGACAUUUCACGUAAUAAAUAAAGAAAUAAAGAUGGUUCUUAGACGAGAGACUCUACCUCAAUUAGUUGGGUGUAAGGUGCGAUCAUGCACAUAAUUUUUUGGAUAUGUAUUCUAUUUUUUAUUGAAAUAUGCUGAAUUUAUUUUAGGUUGGCUAUUUUUUUAGCAAUAUGGGAUCUGGAAAUCAAACAUCUCAAUUUUUUUCUUUUUCAAAUGCGAAGUGUACAAAUAAAACAAAAGUGGACAGUAUAUAUAUCACUCAAAAGGCACUAAAAGUUUGCUAAGAGCCCAGUAUGUCCGUGAUGAAUACUAACACACCAUGGAUCCUGACUUUUGUUUUGGCCCACUAUAUACAAAACAUUGCACUCGCGGUCCAUUUUGGGCGCUUCUAUGGUUACAGUUUUUAAGGACUUAUGUGAAUUUCCCCUUUCCCUGUAGGACUCAUUUCUGAAGCUCGGUUUAGGAAGAGGAAUUGCUAUAGUUUUUUCAUGAUUUUUUUUUAUAACAAAGAUGAAUUGACAUAACCAAAUCAAUAACUAGGUGCAUUGAAACACAUGAAGAGAUGAUGAGGUUUCAGGCUAAACCAUACUCAGUUCUCGCACAAAAAGAAGUAUGUAAUUAAAGCCUGUUUAAAUAAAGUUUUGAAUGUCCCAUCGUCUGUCAUGCGUUUGAUACAGAAAUCAUCAAUACAAAGCUCUGCACGACGGCGGAUGCGGCGGCGCGAACUGGCGGUCGAGGCGAUGUUCCGGCGAGUCCUGUGCACCAAACGCGAAACGGCCGAGCCGAUGAGCACCAGGACAUCAAGUCAAGCAAAGCUAGAACAACAGAAAGAUGGGAGAGACACGUGCCAGUCCAUGGCGAAGGAGCUCACGGCGGGGAGACGGACGGCCGCGGAGAAGAACCGGCGCUGGGGACGACUCCGGCAACGAGAGGCGGCGCGUCUGGGAUCAAACGAUGCGCACGGACGAGGCGCACCUGGCUGCGAGAGUAAUUGGACGGAGGAGGGAUGGUUGUGGCGAGUUUAGCCGGCGAACCGAAGGUGAUCGGCGGCGAUCAAAAGGGUAAAAGGGAGAAAGAGUCGGCGGAGCUCUAGCGCUAGCUCGGGCUUGGACACGCCAGCUCUAGCUCCGGACUCGCCAGCUCUCGCUCGGGCUUGGACACGCAAGCAGCUGCGCGUCCACACGCGAGGAAGCGGCGCGAACGGCGGCGGCGGCCGUCGGCAAGCAGCUGCGUGGCAUUGGCAUGGGGACUGGGGUCUGGGCGUCCGUCCGGCCGUCUGGGGAGGCGGUGGGCAGGAGGAGAAUCGCGGAGCCGCGCUCACCGCUCAUCACUCCCGGGCCGGGACAGGCUGCGAGCGGUAGCGAAGUGGGCGGGCUGUGCGUUGGGCUUCGUCUCUGACGGGCCUGCCUGCGCGAGCUUUCUCCGUGUUCACCGUGCGCUCGUCGUUGGAUUGGAUGGCUGAUCG